GAUCUGUUUUCUGCGCGAAAACGAAUCCGACCCGAGUUCAUCUUUUUUAUGGACGGGAUUUCGGACAUCCCUUUUGAAGGAAGUUUUGUAUGGGGUAUUGUGUUUUGUUCCCGAACACAUCCCACUAACUUUAAGAUCUUUUGAACAUGAUCUUCAACAUCAUACUGGUGUCAAAUCAGUCCGGCAAUAUUACUCCACGGCUGCCGACCUGCGCUAAACACGGCGUCACUUGGUUGAGCCGAGCUCAACUUCUUCGGAUCAUCAUCUCGGCAAGCCGAACAAGAGUCCAGCAUCGCGAAGGAUAAAUCAUCACCAACAUCGCCGCCCCACGGAUUACACAGAGCGGGCAUACCGGCAUCGCCGCACGGUCGCUUCAUCAAGCCGACAUCGACCACGUCAUGACAUGCAUCGGCAGGGCCGCACUAUUGCUUCUUCAAGCUAAUGUCCAUCAUGCCGACCUACUUCGACUCAUCGGCUGACAUCGAGGCUUCGACAUCUCAGCUAGACCGGGGUCUUCGCCAUCUCUUCAUCAACCUACUCCGAACACUUCGGCGUCACUAGCCGACCAGCUCCGUCACGUUAGCUGGACCGAGGGCUUUGCCUCGGCGAGCCAACCUUUACCAACAUUUUUAUGCCGUCGUUUUAUCGCCCAUCAGGAAAUGGGUGUGCGGAUCGAGUCCCAAUUUUGGGAAUCACCUUCCUUCGGAUUGCUACAACAAAUAAACCAGGUGUUAUCAAUCCCAGUACUUUUUGCUUGUUUGGGUUCAUUUUUCCCAAGGAAUUACUACUCUGGUCUGUCCAUCAUAUGUACACAGGUCUAUCAAAUAAUGGCCGCAUUAACGACGGUCGCGUGGUGGUUCGGUCAGUCUUCGUACAUAGUUCGGCAAAUGCCGCAUCCGGAACUCGAACCGACUUGUGAAUUCAGGCUUUGUCACGCCUUUACCGCAUCACGCCGACGCCCUGCAUCGACUUUGACUUUGGCGCCAGACCAUAUUUCUUUUAUUACUCACUUUGCAUAAAUUAUUUAUUAUGCAACGAUUUUUUUAAUUAUCAUUAUUACUAUUAUAUCCCGUUUGCACUAUUUUUUGUGCACAGGAAAAUGAUCCGAGGACUUCGGCGUCACUCUGCCGGUCUGCAUUGACCGUGCUAUGUCACCACUUCGGCGUGUCGAGCUCUCCGCUCCGCCACGUCGGGACCAGCUUGGGGGAUGGAACCUUGCCCCGCAUCAAGCUCGGACCGCGUCAUCAAUACCGAACACAUUAACCAGCUAAGUCGCUCUCAUGCUCAAAGCUUUAAUGUCUAACUUGUGUUCGAUUCGACCAAGCAUUAUACUUUUUUGGAAAAAAGUUACUUGUAAAAAAAUUUCUUUUCCAAACUUUGUUUGUGAUGCAUAAAUUCAAAUACCCAAUUCAUUUGGGGGCUUCCUUCAUGAAGCUUUUCCUGUUGCAUAUGAUUAUACUUGUACGGCUUCGUUCCUUAUUCGUGUAUUACGCCACAAUAUGCACCAUAUUGACUUAAGCGAUUUGCAAGCUGGGUUGCCUCGCUCCUGUGUUUACCCCUACGUUCUCGAUUGUUCGGCUAGGGAGUAAAGGGAGCACCUCUGCGAUUGUCACGAUCGGGUCGCCCGAGCCGAACCUCAGACUGGGUGAAGUCGAAAGCUAGCGCUCUUAUAGUUUUCAAUGAUGGUCGGCACACAACGGAACUCAUGAGUACAAAAAAUCUAUUGCACAAGUCUCAUAAUAACAAUGAGCACCGAAGAAAGGUAUCGGUGGGGGUACUAUUUUCUUCGAAGAUGCUUCUUACACAUCGCAGUAAUAUAGCAUAAGUUCCCUGAGCGCGCUUUGUCUGUUACAGCCUUAUGGCCUGAUUGCCUGGUUAUUGGAAACACCGUUGAUAUUCUCGACCGAUGGAGUACAUAACACUUUUCGGUCCUUGACCGAAGAGGGAGAAGCCGACGGUCGGUUAAGACGCGUUUAAAGUUUGGUUGAACAUAGAUAUGAUAUAAGUACUUCGAUACAUGCAAUCAUUCUUCUACCCAAGUCACUUGGGGGCUCUUAAGUUUAUUUGAGCCAUUUUAUAAUAAGUGUUCUUCUUAUUAGUCGUUGCAAAGUUUUAUUAUUAUUAUUUAUCACUCCUUUUUCGACACAAGUGUGCGGUCACUAGCCGGGGAGCCUAAUUUCUCUCUCAAAGCCGCUAGAGUUUAGUUUGCUAAACUGGCCUGAUGAGAAGUACUCCGCCCUCGGGAUAGGAGGUUGAAGUCGUAGGCUGACCCGCUCGAAGUCUUGAGAUAGGAUGUAUCAUGUUAAAGCACGACAGAAGCACUUCAUUUUUCUAAGACCAAUUUUCAUAUUGGCACCGAACACUUGAUCUUGUUCGGACGUCAUGUUUUUAGUGACGUUUCUUGGUUUUCCAAGCUUUUGGCACUUUUAAACUAUUUGUGCUUUUCCAGCAUUAGUCUCGCAGUGCAACGCCGGACACCUUUAGGGAUUCGGCAAAAACAUUCUCUAUUGCUAUAUAUGCAUCGGUUUCGAAUUGUGUCUUCGGUCAAUAGUUGGGUUGCCCGACUCCUGGCUUUCCUCCUACGUUCCGCUUUGUUCGGCUAGGUGUGCAAAGGGAGAACCACUGCGAUUGUGCUUCCAGCUCGCAUGGUCAAGCACCUCAGUGGAGAAAGCCGAAAACUAACUGUCACAAUAAGCGUAAACUGGUCAGCGAUCCGAUGACUGUGUUAAAUGACAGGCCAUUCAUAACAAUGGCCGAAGUGUUUACGGCUUGACCUCGACUGUCGCCGAACACUACCGGGGGCUAUUAACUGGCCUCACAAACUAAAUCCUCGAUAUUUUGAUCUUACAUUGGAGCUGAGGUUUCAUGAUCAUGCUUAGCAUGACAACCCAAAGAAAGGAACCGAUAGCGGGACUAUUUUCUUUGGAAGACAUUUAUUACGUUAAACAGUAAUAUAAUAUAUCUCUCUACGUACCUUUGUUUAUAAAACCGUAUGGCCAGAUUGCCUUGUUUGUCGUAAAUAUUUGCCCUCAUAAAGGCUUUAUAAAGUAGGACAAACACUCCUCGGCUACUGGCCGAGGAGGAGGAAGCCGAUGAUCGGUCAACAAAGUUUUGUACAAUGCGGAUCCGAGCAUUAACGAUGUAAAGUACUUGGAUACAUAGAAUCAUUACACAUAAUUUGUGAUUUUACUCGGGAUAUUGAUCCUUAAUUCGGCCACCCGUGCCCGCAUUCAGGCUUGGGGGCUACUGGGCUUCGGGCUUAUUAUUUACAAAUAUUAAAGGGGCACAUCGAUCCCCUGAUCUGGUGUUGCCACCCGACCAGUGUCUCGGGGGCUACUGCAUUGCUUGUCCAAUGCAGAAAAUUUUAUGUGCAAUAUAGUUUCCGAGGAGAUUUGAUCCUCAGGUUGGUCGGCCGCACCCAACCUUAGUCUCGAGGACUGAGCAUUCCGCUUUUAGUGUCCCAAAGUAUUCUGCCGAGCUUGGACUUGAUCCUCAGGCCGAUUUUGCAAAUCAACCUGAAUCUCAGCGGCUACUGGGAUCAGCGGUCUUACGUCAUCCUUCAGGUGCAUCUCGGGUUUUAGACCGAUACACACCUUGAGGGCUACUGGCUAUAUAUCUCGGCAGAGAAUAAAUUGCACCAAUAAAAAAUAUUCACAAAAAUCGGCCCACAUUUGGGGUGGUGCACCACCUCGGAAGCAGCCCGGCAUAAAAGCUCGGGCGCUAGUGGAUGGCUCCAUAGAGGGCAUUUCCGGCAUUAAGCUCGGCUAAACUCCUUCAACUUUUUUGAACCAAGGUGAUAUGACACCUUGGAUAUAGUCCAGCGUUGGAGCUUGGACACAGUCCGGCGUUGGAGCUUGGACACAGUCCGGCGUUGGAGCUCGGAUAUAUUUCGGCGUUGGAGCUUGGACAUAGUCCGGCGUUGAGCUUGGAUACAUUUAGGUGUUAGAGCUCGGAAGCAGUCCGGCAUUGGCGCUCGGCUGCAAAAGAUACCUCGAAUACAGUCCGGCGUUAGAGCUCGGACGCAAGAGGACACUGCCUCCCGGGAACAACUUCAAACUCGAGGUGUGGCAUAAAAAUAAUAAGGCAUUGAUAAAGGCCGGAAACUUAAAGGGGCUCCUCGGAUACCCAGCGUAUAAACUCAUCGAAUGCAUUUCAGUGAUCCUCAAGAUCGAAGAUGAGAAGAUUUGUUGAACCAGUUUUCAAGACCGACGACCGAAGAUGAAGAACGGUACGGAAGAAUCGAGGAGCGUCCCUAACUUGAAGACCGGUUCAGGGGGCUACUGAUGGUGUCCUGGACUAGGGGGUACUCACCACGUCGUCUCCCGAUCUAUUAGAUUGGGCCGGGGACCCCCAUGGCUGUAUACUCAUGGGCCAGCUCGGACAGCCGCCGCAUACAAGGAAGAUUCCACAAGACUUGGUGAUCAAGACAAGGACUUCUCCCCACCGGCGUAUUCGGCUAGGACUCUUGUUAACCUAGGCCUGUGGUGCAUUAUAUAAACCAGGGCCAGGCUAGUCGAUAGAAAAGAGAUACACAACAACAAUCAUACCAUAGGCUAGCUUCUAGGGUUUAUCCUCUCUGAUCUCGUGGUAGAUCUACUCUUGUACUACCCAUAUCAUCAAUAUUAAUCAAGCAGGACGUAGGGUUUUACCUCCAUCAAGAGGGCCCGAACCUGGGUAAAACUUCAUGUCCCUUGCCUCCUGUUACCAUCCGGCCUAGACGCACAGUUCGGGACCCCCUACCCGAGAUCCGCCGGUUUUGACACCGACAGACACCCUAAAAGAAUUGAACAAGAUUCACAAAGAAAUAACACGAGUGCACCUAGUCCUUCUAGAAAGAAAAAGAAAAAUGAUAGGACUUUGCACACUUCUAGUGAACCUAAAAUAGAAAAACCUCCUGAUAAUGAAAACGAAGUUUCUAUCUCUGAUGCUGAAACUCAGUCUGGUAAUGAACACUCACCUAGUGAUAAUGAAAAAGAUAAUGAUGAUGUUCAUGAAGACUCUCAACCAAACAAUAAAGAACCAGACAAUGAUGUUGAGAUAGAACCUCCUGUUGAUCUUGAUAACCCACAACCUAAAAAUAAAAGAUAUGACAAAAGAGACUUUGUUGCUAGAAAACACGGUAAAGAAAGAGAACCGUGGGUUAAAAAACCUAUGCAUUUUCCACCCAAGUCAACUAAAAGGAAAGAUGAUGAGAAUUUGAACGCUUUGCUGAAAUGCCGAGGCUAGUCUUUUGCCAUACUCGCUUGACUGACAUCUUGAAAAUGCCUCCUUAUGCAAAGUAUAUGAAAGACAUCAUCUCAAAUAAGAGAAAAAUACCGGAAGCUGAAAUCUACACUAUGCUUGCUAAUUAUACUUCUAAAUAUGGAGUGCCUAAAAAACUUGGAGAUCCUGGAAUACCAACUAUACCUUGCUCUAUCAAAAAGAAUUAUGUGAAAACUGCUUUGUGUGAUUUAGGAGCUGGUGUUAGUGUUAUGCCUUUCUCUUUAUAUAAAAGACUUGACUUGAAUAAACUCACACCUACUGAAAUAUCUUUGCAAAUGGCUGACAAAUCAACUGCCAUACCUAUCGGUAUCUGUGAGGAUGUGCCCAUUGUUGUUGCUAAUGUUACUAUUUUAACUGACUUUGUUAUACUUGAGAUGCCCGAGGACGACAACAUGUCGAUUAUCCUUGGUAGACCAUUCUCGAAUGUUGCAGGGGCUGUUAUUGGUUGCAAUAAAAGCAAGGUCACUUUUCAUAUUAAUGACAAUGAGCAUACGGUACACUUUCCAAAGAAACAAUUCCAAGUGAAUGGUAUUAAUGUUAUUGAAAAAUCUCCGACAAUCACUAUUGGAAGUUUUCAAAUACCUUUACAUACUGUCAAAAAGAAAUAUGAAAUGCUUAUUGUUGGGGAAAUGCAUAUCCCCAUUGAGGUAACUUAGUGAUUUACGAAAUUUCUUCGGUUUCAUGCUAAUCGAAAGUGGUUGUUAAUAAGACUUGAUCAAUCUUAUUAAUGGAUCAUUUUUGAACGGUAUGAAGUUGAUGAAUUUAGUAAGCACUACCUUCUGUCCUUACCUUUUGUUUUCUGUUUUUAUUAGUUAAAUAAAAUAAAAUGCCAUGUUUUGUCUGUUUUCUAAAUUUUCCGUGCAAUAAAAAAUGACCCAAAAAUAAAAGUUCUCAGAAUGCCCUUAAAAUUUUACACGAUUUUUUCUGAAUAUUUGAUAAUUUUUGGUGCAAUAAACAUCAGAGGGAGGUGCACCAGGUGGGAACAACCCACCUGGGCAUGCCAGCACCCCCUGGCGCGCCCUGGUAGGUUGUGGUCCCCACGUGGCCCCCCUCACUUAUGUCUUUAGCCCACAUCAUCACUUACCUCCAGAAAAAAAAUCUCCAUUGCUCUCUCUCCCGUGUUCUUGAGCUCAAACCCGCAGGUUUCGAUCUCUUUGCUGGAAGCUCCGUUUUCGGAACUAUUUCGGGGGAUUGUUGAUAUGUGACUCCACCAUUUUUCCAAUUAGUUUUUGUUUUAGUGGUUUAUACGUUGAAUAAUUAUCUACUCUUGGUGCUGCUAUAGAUGUGCUUGGAUGUUGAAUUCUUAGUGUUCUAAGUAGUUUGAAUGCUUGCUAUGGCCUCUAUGUGUCCCUAUGAGUAGUUGCUAUGAGUCUUAUAAAGUUUUGUUGGCAAAUUUUUGUCACCCCAAAAUUUUUAUUUUCAGAAAAUUGUACGCGGACAUGAUGAACCUAUUUGGAAGGAGUUCUUCAAGGAGACGAUCCUCGGGGGCAUCUUCUAGUGACAGUUUUUCUCAUCGGUCUUAUGUUGAACCAAGUGAAAGUUCCACGUGAGAUGCCGCCACCAAGACAUGUUUAUGGCCUAGCAAUGAAUAUAUGGUGCGUGUGGGCAUUAAGGGCAAAUUUGAGCAAUAUGUUCACAAUGCCGGCCUCGGUCCCUACCUCAUAGAUAAGUGUGAACAGCACCAACUUCUCACUGAAUCAUUUGUCAAAGGAUUUAAAUAUUUUCUGCGUGAGUCUAGGGUGUCGUUUAUGCUUUAUGACAAUCCAUUUACUAUUCCACUAGAGAAUUUUGCUUACCAUUGCAAACUUCCAUUUUGGGGUUCGCUUGAUGAGCCACCAACGGUUGAGUUCGAGUCUUUCUUGACUAGCCUUUGCUAUGGUGAAAAUAGGGGAGUGAGACAAGGAAGAAUAAAGAGCAUUCACUUUCCCGCAAUUUGGUAUUUUUUAUUAUUUAAUGGGAAAUGCAUAGUAGACAAGCAAGACUGUAUCACACUUUGUGCGCCAGACUUCAGCCUCCUUCACACCGCUCUCACUGGUAAAAAGAAUUAUAACCUUGGAGCGAUUGUUGCAUGUAGACUUCAGCACAAAGCUAACAGUGGUUGGUUCGAUGGUGGAAUUUAUGCCACGCGUUUAGCACAAGAGCUGGGUGUUUCGCCUUUGCCCUUUGAUCCUAUCCUACCCAUGCGGUAUUUAGAUUUUGACACUUUAAAAGAACACAAGAUCCUUAAGGGAAAGGUUGAUAAUUUCACUUACAAUCUAACGUUUAACCAAAAAUCUAUUGUGGACACAUAUUUGCCUGCGCCUGCUCUUUUUCAUUAUAACAGCAAGGGAAUAUAUUUUGUUCUUGAGAGCAAGGCCCGAGCUCAUAAUGCAACAGUCAUGGCGGCACGGCACGCUGAGGCAUCCGCACCGAGAGCCUCCGUGAGCUACCACGUCGACUACUACCCUCCAGGCUACUGAUCGACUACCAAGUUAGGCCAAAAGCCUAAGCUUGGGGGGUACGUGUUUCCACCGACUUUACAUUCAUGUCUAUUUAUUCCAUUUGUCGGUGUUCACACUUUUUCAUUGUAUCAUCCAUGCUUAGAUUUAUUUUCUUGCUUUCUUCUUGUGUGUUUGAAAAACUUUAGAAAAACCAAAAAAGUUAGUUGUAGUUAAUUUACUUCCUAUGCAUGCUUAGUAGUAGUACUAAAAAGAAAAUCCAAAAAGAUUUCCUUGUUCUUCUUUUGCUUGUUGGGAGCUUUCCCAUGUAAAUAGUUUUCUCGUUUUUGCUUUUCCCUUUAUUGCUUGUUUAAGAAAACCAAAAACUCCAAAAAUAUUUCAAUGUGUUUCUCUGAAUUUCUUUUCUUUUUAUUCGAGUUGUACCGAGGAGAAGACCACGAUGAAAAUGUUGAAUGGCUCUCAUUUGAAUAAUUGUUGAACUAAUGCAGAGCACAUUUUACCUUGUCUUCUCUUGUUGAAUAAAAUGUUUGCAGAUUCCAGCUUAGUCCAUGGCACUCUUGCACUAUUAUUAUUUUCAUAUCAUUCGGUCGUGCAACUGAAAGGCAAUAAUGACAAUAUUUGAUGAACUUGCCGUGGCAGAGAGAAACUGGUAUGAACUCGACUUGUCCUGUCUGUGUAAAUAUGUUUAACCUAGCAUCCAUGAUUCAGCCUGUUAUGAUUAAACAUGUUUGCAAUGACAAUUAGAGAUUAUAGUUUCUCAUGCCAUGCAUAAGUAGCUGGGAGUUGAUAAUGAUUUAUCUUGGAUAUCAACAUUGUGUUAAAAUGAUUGUGAUGUAGUAUUAUGAUAUGGUAUCCUCCUCUGAAUGUUCAAGUGGCUUGACUUGGUACAUGUUCAUGCAUGUAGUUGAAUCAAAACCAACAUAGCCUCUAUAAUAUUUAUGUUUAUGGUGUUCAUAUCCUACUCAUGCUAGUGUCCAAUGUUACUUACACAUAAUGCAUGGUUAUGAUCGGUGUUGCUCUCUAGCUAGCAGCUUCUCAAUCUAAAUUAUUAGCCUUCGCCUGUACUAAGUGGGAAUUCUGCUUGUACAUCAAAAACCUUGAACCCAAAGUUAUUCCAGAUGAGUCCACCAUACCUACCUAUAUACGGUAUUACCCUGCCGUCCUAAGUAAAUUUUCAUGUGCCACCUCUAAGAACUUCUAAAAAUUAUCCAUUUUGUGUGCCUGGAUCGUUCAUGGAACGACAGGAGGUGGUCGAUAUCUUCCAUGCGAAGCGGGUUAUUCUCAGGUUGAGUGUUUAUUUACUCGCCAUCGCACGAGAAAAUGGGCGAUGAUAGGGAUUCCCAGUCCCGAACUCAAGAAGGCAAAUAAUUAAACAAAACUCCCCCGGGACUGAUGUUGGUAUGGAUGGCACCCGUUGUUUCGGACAAGCCGUGGAGUGUGAUUGAUGGUGGAGGGGGAGUAAACCUUUACUUUUAUCGCAUGGGAACCGCCACUAGUGUGCUUAGCAUGGAAGAUGUUGAUAACUGAUGGUCGUGAAGUAAAUGAGAAGGGUGCAUGUCUCAAAAUAAUCAUUUACCUCUAUUUUAAGAAUUGAGCUCUGGCACCUCUGCAAAUCACUACUUCCCUCUGCGAAUGGACUAUCUAUUUACUUUUAUGUUGUGUCAUCACCUUCUAAAACAAGCGCCAGAAACUGAGUAGAGCACAGUUGCCAUGAUUUAUGCAUUGUGUGUAGCUAAUGUUGGGUGCAACAUGACUGGAUCUUUUCUACCAUGAAUUACAAUGUUUAGUCACUUCUUGAACUUUGGAGGUGCUCUGCACUUAUGAUUUGCGGUCUUAGAAAGGGCUAGCGAGAUACCACUAUUGUCAUAUUAUAUCAUGGUUGUUUUGUCAAUGUGUUGCCGUUUGAGAUAUCUUAUUAUUGCUCGCUAGCUGAUUAUGUCAUUGAUACGAGUCAUUAUAAUCUUUAAGAGUUAUUGUUGACAUGGUUAGUUAUAAUGUUGGCUGAAAACCUAGGUGUUGUUUAAGCUUAUUUAUGCAAACAAGAGCAAAAGAGUUCGUAAAAGUUUUUCUUUCUCACUUUCAGUUUAUCAACUGAAUUGCUUGAGGACAAGCAAAGGUUUAAGCUUGGGGGAGUUGAUACGUCUCCAACGUAUCUACUUUUUCUCACGCUUUUCCUCUGGUUUUGGACUCUAAUUUGCAGGAUUUAAUGAAACUAACCCCAGACUGACGUUGUUUUCAGUAGAACUACCAUGGUGUUGUUUUUUUUGCAGAAAUAAAAGUUCUUGGAAUGGAACGAAACUUUUCAAGGAAUUUUUAUAUAAUAUAUAACAAUUUCUGGAGCCAAGACCUACCGGAGAGGAGCCCUGGGUGGGCACAACCCACCAGGGCGGGCCCCCCUCUACUGGCGCGCCCAGGUGGGUUGUAUCCACCUGGUGGCCCCGCAGACCUCAACCCUGACACUAUAAAUUCCUAUUUCCGGAGAAAAAAAUAGGGAGAAAGAAUUAUCGCGAUCCACGAGACGGAGCUGCCGCCAAGCCCUGUUCUUCCUCGGGAGGGCAGAUCUGGAGUCCGUUUGGGGCUCCGGAGAGGGGGAUCUUCGUUCUUCGUCAUCACCAACCCUUCUCCAUCGCCAAUUCCAUGAUUCUCCCCACCGGGAGUGAAUAAUUCCUUCGUAGGCUCGCUGGUCGGUGAGGACUUGGAUGAGAUUCAUCAUGUAAUCGAGUUAGUUUUGUUAGGGCAUGAUCCCUAGUAUCCAUUAUGUUCUUAGAUUGAUGUUGCUAUGACUUUACCAUGCUUAAUGCUUGUCACUUUGGGCCCGGGUGCCAUGAUUUCAGAUCUGAACCGUUUAUGUUAUCAUCAUUAUAUUCAUGUUCUAGAUCCGGUCUUGCAAGUUAUAGUCACCUACUACGUGUUAUAACCCGACAACCCCGGAGUGACAACAACCGGGCCCACUCUCGGUGAUGACCGUAGUUUGAGGAGUUCAUGCAUUCACUAUGUGUUAAUGCUUUGUUCCAGUUCUCUAUUAAAAGAAGGCAUUAAUAUCCCUUAGUUUCCAAUAUGGACCCCGCUGCCACGGGAGGGUAGGACAAACAAUAUCAUGCAAGUUCUUUUAAUAAAGCACGUAUGACUAUUUAUGGAAUACGUGCCUACAUUAUAUCGAUGAACUGGAGCUAGUGUCGUAUGGCCCUAGAUUAUAACUGUCACAUGAUGAAUAUCAUCCAACAAGUAACCGAUCCAAUGCCUACGAACUUUUCCAUAUUGUUUCUACUAAGUUACUACUGCUAUCAUCACUGUUACACUUGCUACAAAACUACUGCUAUCACUGUUACUAUUACUAUUUUUGUUGUCACUAAUAUCAAAACUAUCAAACUAAUUUGCUAUUGAUCACUUUGAUGCAGAUAAUUAAUCUCCAGGUGUGGUUGAAUUGACAACUCAGCUGCUAAUACCUUCAAAUAUUCUUUGGAUCCCCUUGUGUUGAAUCUAUAAAUUUGGGUUGAAUACUCUACCCUCAAAAAUUGUUGCGAUCCCCUAUACUUGUGGGUUAUCAUCGGCGACCCAUCUGCUUGCAGCGCCGCCUCCUUGCCAGCUACCCUUCUUCUUGCAGCGCCGCCUCCUCGCCGGCGACCCUUCUUCUUGCAGCGCCUCCUUCUCGCCGGCGACCCAUCUUCUUGCUGUGCGGCCUCCUCGCUGACGACCCUUCUUCUUGCUGCGCGACCUCGCCGAUAUGGUUAGGUAAUCUACACCCCACCCACACCAUUCUCCUCAUUUCCCGUCCCACAUGCCCCGACCGAUGGCGCGACACCUUCCACCAAAAUCAAUGCCCCCCUCCUCCAACUAAGCGCCGCCCACAACCAUUUUGCACGCAGUAUAACAUGGAGCUCGGUAGCAUGCGGCCGCACGUGCGCCCGAGGUCGCUAUGGCUGCCAUGCGUGCCGACCGCCAGAUCUUGGAGGAGAACCUUGUCUUCGAGGCCACCGUCGACACCGCCACGCGGUUGUCUGCUUUAAAAUAUAGUUCGUGAUGUUUUCUCGAGGCCACCGCCAGUGCCUUCCAGUGAUUUGUCCUCUGUAAUGUUAAUAUGCAAUCUGAUGUUCAGUUAAUAGUUUGGUCCUCUAAAAUGUAAUGUUCAGUUAACACUUUGGUCCAACAAUUGCUACAUUUCGUAGUACUGUUCUCAAGCAUUCUUUAUUAUGUUAACUAUCUUAUCUUCUAGUACAUGUUUCUAUUCUGCAAUGUCGUGCUCAGUUAACUAUUUUGGUUCAUUUGGUCUGCUGUCCAUUUAACUGUUUGGUUCAGUUCUGCAUUUGAUUUUCAUUUGUUGUCGGUACAAUUUUGUAUUGUUAUGCAUGUGACACCAAUCUAAUUUGGUUGUACUCAAUACAUAUUCUUCUGAUGGCAUGGCAACUCUCAGUUAACCUGAUCAAGAUCUUCCUUAUGUGUGUUGCAGGGAAAUAUGGGAGACACUGCAGUUUACCAUCGAGGUUUGUUCAAGCAUGGUCCUUUGGCUAAUAGCACAUUAUUAUGCAGUUGCAGGAAUCAUUCUAAUAUUUAGGUUUCUUACAAUUUGGUCUUGCACAUGUAGGUCCUGCUAUCAGAGGCUUAGACCCACUGUAUGACCCAUUUUGCAUAUGGGGAAGUGAGAUGUCCAUGGACCAUGAAUAUCAGUCAAGUCAAGAAACUCAGAAAGAUUGUUAGGAUGAAGAAACUUGCGACGAAUAAUAGCAAGAUCUUUGUUUGCACAAUGAAGAAGACAUCAGUCAACUAUAGGAUGGUACUAACUCUUUUACCUUGUUUUUACCCCUUGCGCCAUUUAAAAAUUUAUAACAACGAUUUAUGCAUAUCUUUGUUUUCAGUACUUUUCAAAGUAGUUCGCCGAUGAUUACCUCUCAAACCACCCGCAUGGUCAAGAGGCGAGGAAGGUAUUCAUUCAACACCCACGGUACAAUAUUGAAGUCUUGCUGAAGAGGACGAUGGUUGGGAGGGCAAUUAUCCAUAGCCACUGGCCUAAAGUUGCAAGGACAUUCAACAUCACUGAAGGCUCAAUAUUUGCCUUCCGCUUCUGCAGUUUCCUAGAUGAGAUUCAUUUGUCUAUUUACUAUGUAUGAUGCUACUUUCCAAAGGUUUUUGAUGCUGCAUGUGAAACUUGGUGCUAUUGUGUAAUGGCGUAACUGAGUGCCGAAGCUAUCUGAUGUGAUUCGAUUAUGAAAUCCUGGUUGUUGUUAUACGGAUAUGAAAUAUCUGGUGUGUUUUAUAAGAAAUAUCAAUUUGAUUAGUACAUGGAUUAUCAAUAAUAGGCUAAUUACCCUGCUUAUUGGGGUUUUCUAUUGCAGACGGUUACUCAGACAGCACUGUGGGCGAUGAACUCAAACAACCCACACGGUUUCUAGAGAGUAGGCGCGUUCGAUCAACUAACAAUCACACAUGGCUUCCGGUAGCGAACUGUUUGUGUCAGGCCAUCUUGCACAAACGUUCCACACAAAGAACUGUGUGUGAUAUACAUGUGAACGGAAAUGAUUUUCUGAGAUUCACCGUGUGGGAUGUACACACGAACGGGAAUGAUUGGGUUUCGAUGCCUCGCCCGAUCGCACACAAGCUCAUUUGGCCCCAGCUUGUGUCCUAUCCCCGAUGGUUUUUGGGUCGUGUGGGAAGGACCCCCCCCCUAUUGCCCACACUCACUUGGCGAUGGUUCCAAAUGUCGUCACGGAAAGGGGUUAAAAACCAUUUGUAUAGCAUGUUGUUGUACCAGUGGAGUAAAGAGACUUGUCGAUAAUGAGAUUGAACUAGGUAUGGAGAUACCGACGAUCGAAUCUCGGGCAAGUAAUAUACUAAUAGACAAAGGGAACUACAUACAGGAUUAGCUGAAUCCUUGACAUCGAGGUUCGACCAAUAAGAUCUCCGUAGAAUAUGUGGGAACCAAUAUGGGCAUUUCGGUCCCGCUAUUGGUUAUUGACCGUAGAGGUGUCUCGGUCAUGUCUGCAUAGUUCUCGAACCCGCAGGGUCUACACACUUAACGUUUGGUGACGAUAUAAGUAUAGUUGAGUCAUUAUGGUGGUUACUGAAGGUUGUUCGGAGUGACAGAUGAGAUCCCGAACGUGAUGAGGAACUCCGGAAUGGUCUGGAGGUGAAGAUUGAUAUAUUGGACGAAGGGUAUUGGAGUCCAGAAUUGUUCCGGGGGUACCGGGUGAUGACCAGCAUGACCGAAAGGGGUUUCGGGGGGCACCGGCAAGUGUUGGGGGGCCUCAUGGGCCAAGGGGAGGGGGCAAACCAGCCCACUAAGGGGUUGUGCGCCCCCUCACCCCAUCUCAUGUUGCCAAAGGAGGUGGGGGCGCCCCCUAGGGUUCCCACCCCUUUGGCUUGGGGCCAAGUCUCCUAAGGGGGGAAGCCCAUCUAGGGUUUCCCUCUUGUGGCCGCCAGCCCUAGAUAGGAUCCCCUAGGGGAACCCCCUGUCCCCCUUCCCCCUAUAUAUAGAGAGGUAGAGAGAGGGCGGCCGCACCCUCAUACUCCACGGCACUGCCCCUCCUCUCUCUCGUAGCCUUCUUCCUCUCUGUAGUGCUGAGAUUCCGCCACCGCCACCAUCACCACGCCGCCGUGCUGCCGGAGGACUCGAGCUACUACUUCACCAUCGCUCGCUGGAUCGAGGAGGUGAAGGCGUCAUCAAGUCGUACGUGUGUCGAAUGCGGAGGUGCCAUCCGUUCGGCACUUGGAUCAGGAGUUCGCGGGAUGGAUCAUGAUUGGAUCGUGAAGACAUUCGACUACAUGAACCGUGUUUCUUAACGCUUCCGCUUAGCGAUCUACAAGGUCAUGUAGAUGCAAUCUCUCCUCUCGUAGAUGGUCAUCUCCUAGAUUGAUCUUGGUGAGCGUAGGAAAUUUUUUGUUUCCCAUACUACAUUCCCCAACAGGGUGCUCGACUGCAUGAUAGGUGAUACUCGCUUCUGAUCCCCUACUUCUGAAUUGCUUCGACACAUAUGCUUAUGCCUUCCUAAAGAAAAUGCACCCGUUUUUGUUCAACAAAGCAAAACCUAAUAUGGCGCAAAUGGCGUGCCUUAUGGAGCCAUUGCCCGCGGAUGUUAUACUUCAAAAGAGAUUCCUCAUGAAAGACUUGUAGUACACUCUGAGGACAAUUUAUUAAAUCAUGUGCAACACUAUUUACCCCAUUAAAGGUCUUCAUUCCAAAACUAAGAUCAAAGGAGUUAUGAACAAUUUGGUCUACAACAUCACAUACUCCAAGUGUUUUGAUCGUCGUGAUUUCUUUUUGAGGACUUUAGCCUCAUCUUCCAUUGAACUGCAUGAUGAAAAUUCUUUGCAUCUUGGAUUGUACUCCCUCCGUUCCAGAAUAUAAAGUGUAUUGAUUUCCGUGCAAGUCAACCAUUUGAAUGUUUAACCAAGAUUAUAGAAUAAGACAACAACACCUGCAAUACCUAAUAGAUAAAAUAUGAAACUACUAUUCAUGAUGGAUCAAAUGAUAUAAAUUUUGUAUUGUGGAUGUUGACAUAUUUUUCUAAAAACUCGGUCAAACACGCACUUGUUUGACUUUUGAAAAAAAACAAAUACACCUUAUAUAAAGGAACAUAGGAGUACAUUUCAUUAAGCAUUACCAAUGCAUUUCUUACCAACACUCAGCCAGUAAUCAUAAAAUAUAUUUAUUUCUCCAAUUGAAGUUCUUUGGACUACAUUCUACCCUGCAGAAGGAAAAUUUUCCUUGUAUAAUGAUGAUGCCCAAGCAACACUACUUCUAAUAAUGAAGAUAAUACAAUGCAUGGUGCCACAACUGAAGAAACUACCACAAAGCACCUUGCUGGCCAAUUUUGUCAGCCGCGUAAAAGUGAUACUACCACAUAGACAAUAGGUACUUUCACUACUCAGCGCAAGAGAUCAAGAGUGAUGACCGAUGGAGAACUUGUUGUCACUCUUUAUCAAAAUUAUGAUAGGAAUCAUGACUGGGCACAAAGACAGAGAAUGCAAAUUCUUCAUGACCUCAAUAGAGUAGGAAACGAUACGUUGAAGAAUGCUUUAUGUUGUGCAUGAAACUUUCUGCCAAUCAUGGGCUAGUUUGUCGCUGCAGAAGACUAUUGUAGAACUUCAAGAUCCUAGCUUUGAUGAAAGUUAUGAAUGGUAUGCUCCUCCACCUUCUAUACAGUCACAACACACUCCAUCACCGGUUACUUUAGACUAUAGUUCUUCAACCUACAUUAUUGACAUCGACAUCGAAAGCAAAGAAGACGUGACCACUCCUCCUGCGCUAAUUGCACAAUGUCUGGAAUCAUCUACUAAGCAUGCUGCUCCACCACACACCCCUAACACCAUCGUUGACCUGGUUGCACCCUUCAUCAACUGCUCCAGGUGACGCAUAAAAGCUCUCUUUCCUCAACCUUUUGAUCCUUUGAUGACAAAGGGACAAUGAUAUAAGGAUUAUAGUCUUCAAGCGGGUGUCUAUAUGGGCGGGCUCUAUUUUUUGUUAAGUUGCAACUCUCAUUGUUCUGUGGAUUUGUUGUACUAAGUUGUAAACUUAAGUCUGGUGGCUAUCUAAAACUUUUGAACUACUAUUUCUUCAUGCUACUCUUUAAGUCAAUCGUACAUGCAUGAUGAUAUUCGUCAUAGGCCACUUCUAAUUGCGUAUUGCUAAUUCUUCAUGUUAAUCCUUCAAUGCACUAUGUUGGAUUCCAAGAUAUGGGGAGAGUUCUCCACAAUUACUACCUGGCAUGUGCAUAUGCACUCCAAAGUAAAAUUUUCAUAUGGACAUCUUCAAGGGGAGUUCUUUCUGUAUCAUGUAAUCAAAAUCUUCACAUUUUUACUUUCACAUAUUAUAUAUCCUAGUUGAAAACUUUAACCAGUUUUGCUAUCAAUCACCAAAAAGGGGGAGAUUGUAACUGCAUCUAGUUCCCCUUUGUGGUUUUGGAGUAUUGAUGACAAAAGUGGUUAAGGGACUAAUAUGUUUGUGUGUAUACACACGUGGAAGUCCCUGGAUAUUUUGGAACGCAUCUAGUUCACCAUUUUGGAAUGCCAUUUUUGAGCUGCAUCUAGUUUGCUAUUUUGGAAUGCCAGACACCGCAGAGGGGUCUCUAAUUUGACUCUCAAUCAGUGGAGAAAUUCUUUGGUUGGAGUAGGGCUGCAGGAAAAGCUCGAGGCUCGUUAGGCGCUCACGAUCGACUCGAGUACCAUAUAUGUUGUGUAUGAUUUUUCUCCAUUUUACCUACUACCAAACAUGGAAGCUUAAUUUAAUGUAGAGAAAAUUUAGCCCCAAUAUGGUAUGUUAUUAGCCAUGUGUUAAAUAUCAUGUUAUUUUGGCCAAAUUUUGAGAGUAGAAGCACCUCCAUUUUAUUCUCUUGCUAGUUUCUCCAUGAUCUCUUGCUAUUAAGUACUAGUCUUAAGUUCAGAAAGAGUAAGUUGAAUUAUGUAAUGGUUUCUUAUGUUGUGUUGUGGCCUACCUUGUUUGAAAAAUUGUCUUUGAUUAUUAAAAAAUCAUCAUCUUUAGCUUGAAACUAGAUCGUGAUCAACUUGAGAUUGUUACAAGCUGAGCACCAGCCACUUUCUACAACUCAACCUUGAGCUUCGCAUGGUUUGAGCUCGCUUGAAUUUUAAUAAAAGUUGAAUUGAUCCUAAUCCAUCUCACUCAAACUCGACUCGUUUGCAACCCUAGUUGGGAGUUAUAAUGUAGCUUCAGAAAUCGUCAGAUUGUCACCAACUUCCUCUUCUCCUACGCUGCGAUCUAGUUGGUGAGAUUAGAUCUAUCCUUCAUCUUCAUAGUGAUACUGGGUGUGACUAUAUACCAUAAUGUUUUUUGUCGCAUAGUAUGUCCCCCUAACCCCUCUCCGGAGGCAAAACUCUAGCCUCCAGCAGCCCUUCGGGAUGAAGAAUAAUGGUGACGAUGUCUCCAUGUCGUAGAAAAAUCACGCAAUAAUCAUGAAAGGGUUUCAGGGCAAUAUAAAGCCAAAAACACCAGAGGGCAGCUAUAGGGAUCACACAUACCCUAAGUGCCCCUAUAAGGUGGAAGCCUAAGUGGAGCACCUAGGCACCAUGUGCCACCUCCUAACCCGAUUCCAGGCCCCUGGUCCAUCAUAUGUUGCAAAAAAAUAUUAUUUUUUCCUGAACACUUUCCUACACAAAAAUAUAACACCAUGUAUUUUUUUAUUCUAAAAACAAUGUUAGUCGCGGUUAGUUUUUAUUCAUAGGAGCAAGUUUUGCGCCCAAAGUUAAGCAAAAGUGUUCAAAAAGUAGAUUACAGACGUAUCACGUUUCCAUCAUGUCUGCCAACAUGGAGGCCGACCAACAAGAUGAUCAAGGACAAGGUGCUAGCUCGAAGGGCGUGAUGGUUGGUGACGGCGUGGCGAUGGCUGCGCGUCCACGAGCUUGUCUCCUUGGUGAUAGGGUGGCUUGACCGACAUACUCUUGGUUCCAGUCUCCAUGGGCGAAAGCCAUGCUUCUAAUGGGGAUCGGUUACCAAUAAAGAUGUCGCGGUGGUGCCUCUUCCUUGGGAGUCGUUGUCGAAGGGUUUGCCCUCUCAACUAGGCUGUGGUUGGUUGUUUAUUGGGUUGUCGUGGUGGUUGUUGGUGUGGCUGGACCCUUUCCCAUGUUUCUACAAGGAGUCAUGGACGGCUUCUAGGCGAAAGCUUUAUUGAUUGACCGGAUCGAUGCCUGCAAUGAAGACGCCUUUCCUUCUUGAAGGCUUUUCUGAACAUCUCUCUCACUUUGUCCAGGUUGUCAGCGAGUAGGCGAUGAAGGUCAAGUUGGCCGACUGCGGUUUUUGUUGUUUCCUUUGUCUUUUUCUUAUUUUCUUUUCGUGUUCAUUGUUGAGGUUUUCACCUGAUUGUCCUUUAUCAACCAAGUAGUCAUGUGGUUUUUAACCUAUUUUUUCUUAUAAACCAGAUCAAUUACAGUCUUUCUAGUGAAAUAAUAGGAGCACCUGGCCUCUUGACAAGGUUCCAUGAAAAAGAAAGCACUCGCCUAGCCUCUUGGGCUUAUUGGGUUUAAUGGGACCCUGAGAACAUUUACAGCCGGGCACCUCAAACCCGCUUCAUACAUUCGGGCGGGCCGCCCGGUCACUUACUGGUCACGUUUUUUCGAUCCAGACGGAUGCCUCAAACGGGCCUCAAAUGCCUGGGCCGACCGGCACCCCUCAUAUCCAACCCAAAUAUGGGGCGCCCGGGCACGCCCGCCACGUCGGACUAACGAAGGGGUCCCAAUCAGAAAUGCCCUCAAACCCGACGGUCUGAAGCGCGUCUCCUCCGUCGGACUGGUGACGCCAUGUGGCAUAGUUUCGGCGGGCUGCGUAGUGCCUUGCCCGACUAUUUAAGUCGACCGGCGGCAUCGGAACCCUACCAUCCAUCCAUAUUUUCCUCCUCCUGUCCAUCGCCGCCGCCACUUUCCACUCCACCCGUCCACCUAGUAGCCAUGCCCCCACGCCGUCGGGUGAGGAGCGAGCCAUUUCUGACGCCGGAGCGCCGCUGAGCAGAUUCGGGCUAGGCGCAAAGCCCGGAUCGCCACAGGGCUACCUCCAGAUGCAGUUGAUCCGGAGGAGGAGGAGGAGGUGGACGAGGAGGAGGACGAGGAGGAGGACCUUGAGGAGGAGGGGGAUGAGCCGGAGAAGGAGGGUGUGGGGGACGCUGGCAACGGGGAUCUGCAGGCGGAGCGGCAGGCUAUCCUCAAUUCCCACUGGUUGGAGUCGGCUGUGGAGGCAAGAUGCCAUCGCCGGCAGGAAAUGGAUGCGCAGCAGGCCGCGGGGGAGGCGGAGAUGCUCGCCUACCUGGAUGAGGUCGAGCGGGAGGAGGAUGAGCCGUAGCCCUCCUACUCGCUCGUUCAGCCGGCGCCUGGCACCGUCGUCGUGGACAUCUUCAACAAUGAAGAGUAGUUAGGGUAAUACGGAGAUGUAGUACAUAAGAUUUCUUUUGCAUGCUUUGUGUGAAUCUAAGAGAUAAAAUAUGAGCGAAAUAGAUGCAAAGUGGCUAAUAUAAGACGUGACCGGUCACCAUUCGCGGAUCGCGUCCGCGGGCGUUUAAGGGACCGGAUUUGCAAAGUACUAUUGUAGAUGCUCUAAGCUGCUUCAUGAUUGAACCUGAAAUAAGUUGAGAGAGCUAGGUACCUUUUAGGUGGUGAUGUAUGAAGCACGAAUCCUAGCCAGGUUAAGUGACCGAUGUACACUGAUCCAGCCGUGGUACCACGCCCACAUGCAACAAGCUAAUGAAUAUAACCAGAAUUGUGGCCGAGAUUCGAUGAUGCGCCGUCGAAUCAUAGCUAAGCAGGAAGAACAACUUCUCAAGCACACAAGUACCUAUCGAUCUUGCCUAUAUUUCUUUCGCGACACUUUUCAAUUUUAUGUAUGCAUUUAUCAUGUAAAUGUUAAGUUUUUUUAAACAUAAAAGGAUAUGAGCUGUUGGUAUCCUCCAAGUAUAGUAGAAAGGCUCAAAGAAUAUAGAGGCAUUAUUUUACGAAAAUACAAAAGUGAACAUGGUUCCACACGCACCUAAUAAAUUGUAAAUUUGAAAGAAAAAAAUUAUGAAGUUUAAAAAAAUACUGAAAUUUUAGGUUAUCAAAUUUGGUCGACCAUUCUACUAGUGUGUGGUGUUUCGUGAAGAAAUGGCAUCCCUGAUAUUCUUUGUGAAGAAAAAACAGUUGGGACCUUACUAUUCAUCAAACAAUGUUUUUCAAUAUAGUUUCGAUUUUAGCAUUUUUGUCAAGAAUAGAACAUUUGUCCAUUUUUCGGGAAACUUCAUACGCAAGUAUACUGGUCGACUAUGUAUUCAUAAGAAGUGUGUUUGAAACCAUGUUCAUCAAAUCCGUACGACACACAAUUGCAGCCAUUUAUCCAUGUCUUUCAAUGCUCUACAGCCGUGGAUCCUAAGGCCUAUUUCAGUGCUCCAUGAUGUACGGACGCUAAGUAUACUACGUAAGCAAAAAAAUGACGUGGCACAACAAAUGAAGUAAGCUUGCUACAACAAGUUAAGCACCCAUUCAUUGAGGAUUUGUGUUGCUAAGAGGAAGUACAAUAAGAUGAUAUAGCCCGGCCGUAAGACUUUAAAGUUUAUAUCUUUUAAAUCUGGAAAGAGAGAAAUGAAGAGAUAAGAGAAACAGGCUACUGAUUAACAACCGGCUACAACACCCGUUCCCAGACACUUUCUAAGAGAAUUAGGUGAGCCAUGUAUGAACAUAGUGGCAUAUUUUUGUAUGCAACUAGUGUACAUGCUGGCUAUAAGUUUGACUAGAGAUGACGUGACAAUAUCAUAUAACCAUCAGAUGAUUGUACUAUUAACAUACUCUAAGCUAUUUAAUGCACUUAGCACAACAUCUAAGCAUCUUUCUAGUAUUACAUUAAAAGAGGCCUAGGGCAUAUACAAUUCGGGGCACUAAGCCUAGACGCUAGGAUUAAUAUCCUGCCCAACUGACAGGUAGAUUAACAAAACCUAGCGCCUUACCUCGCAUCAACGCGAAGAGUGGAGGCGGACGCUUUGCCUUUUUUCUCGCGGGACUCUAGAGAUGCAUGUAGCGUUCGAUUUUUUCUACUGUUUUCCGAUUUAUUAGCAUCGGGUUGGAAAUCGGUAAGCUGAUUUUUAUUUUACUGUAUUUAUUCUUUUUUUUUCGUAAGCGCCUACACAAGCGCUCUGCAGUGGAGAUGUUCUAAGUGUCGUACGAUUUUCGCUCGGCGGUCCAUCGUCUGCACAGUAAUUCUGGUAUUGGGUUUAAUGUGUCCCCGAGCUGCUUGAUGAUUGAAUCUGAAAUAGGCCGAGUCGCUGAGACUCUGAGAGACCACAUACCAGCUAGGUGGUGAUGUAUGAAGCCACGAAUCCUAGCCAGAUUAAGUUACCGAUGUACACUGUGAUCUGGCCGCGUGCCUUGCCCACAUGCAACAAGCCAAUGAAUAUAACCAGAAUUUUGGCCGAGAUUCGAUGGUGUGCCGUGGAAAUCAAUUUUGGGCAAGUAGAAAGAAAUCAUAGCUAAGGGCAUCUUUCAACGAACUACUCUCAAAUCGUCUGCAUAGGUAUUGACCACACUGUUCGGAUCACAGAAGCCAUCCAACGCAGAGGUGUAUCGGUCCGCAGGGCGAUUUGUACGCGCUUUCUCUUGUAAAUUGGAGAUAAAAGCGUGCAUGUGUGUGGAGAGGGGGGUAGGGGAUGCGAGAGUCCGGACAGCAACCACGUAGGACUUCAACACCUCGGCUCACCAAUCCUCAAUUCCGGUCUCAUUUUCUUCCGGUACGCCCCUACUCCCCCUUGCUUUGCAUCCGCACCUUUCACCUCUGCCGCUACCGUUGUACGUCUUCGGCAGCCACAAAGGCAUUAUUGGACGUCUGCAACCAACACUGACGUGUCUACUCGCCUUUACAAUGGUGCUAUCCACCCUGGAGCCGUUUGUAUCCAGGUACACUCCGCCCCCUGUCGACGACCUUCAUGGUGGACACCACACCUGGUAGGUGUUCGGUCAAAUGUCGGUAAACUUAUUCGUUCACUCAAUGUUGGUCUACACAUUAUAUAGCCAGCACGAGCUGUCGUGAUGUAUCACGGGACAGAGGGACAACCAUUUAAGUACACACAUUGUUGAAUGAAACUGAAGGAGGAGUAUGUGUGGGACAACAUGAUCCGUUGAUAAAAACUUAUUGAACAUCCGGUUAAUCUAGUCGAAUUUAGAGGCACUGUUGUACAUGUUGGAGGGGAAAGAGAGGAUUGGUGGAAUAAUGUUGUUGUAUUGCUUGAGCCUCGUGGGCAUAUAUAUAGGAGUACAAUGAUCUACUUGGAGUACAAGGCAAGCCAGAAUAUUUCCUAGUCUAACCUAUGUUUCCUAUACAAUCACGUUACUCAACAUCCCCCCGCAGUCACAACGGUAGCGAUGCAGACGGUGAGACUGGAGAAGAAUCCGAAGGCAAGCCGACGGACACCCCCCACAGUCGUAACGGUCGAUGCAUCGCGGAGUCGUGGCUGGAGUGGAAACCAACGAGGUUGCUCAAGCAGGCGGUAGCCCUUUGUGCCGUUUGUCGAUGUAGCCGAGAGCGUGGGUGGUGGAGCCGUGGUCGAGGUAGUCGUGCGAAGAAUGCCGUGGUCGAUGUCGAGUCGGGGUAGCCGGUGUCGAGGAAGUCGCCAUGGAGCCGCGAGCGCAAGGGGGCGCCGAGUUAGCAUGGGCGCAGUGGUGUCGAAGUAGUGGUGCGCCAGGAAGUAGAUGAUGUUGACGACGCGUCGCUGCGGGUUUGCCAAGCCCGGGGACACAUCGUGGACGAAGGCACGCACCGGUGUUGCCAGCACCGGGCAUGCGUAGACGGACGAAGACGAAGUUGACGAAGUGUCGCGCCAGGCUUGCCAGGCCCGGGGACACAUCGUGGACGAAGGCACGCGGCGGUGUUGCCAGCACCGGGCAUGCGUAGACGAGGGACCUGCACGAGCUGUACACCAUGUCGGAGAAGUCGGAGAGGCCAGCAGAGAAGGACUCGACGACGGUUGCGGCGCCAAUCGGCGCGGGGCCAAUGUCGCCCGCGGUUGUCGGAGUAGAUGAAGCGGUCGGGGUAGAUGACGGCGACGCUGGCGACGAACUGGUGUUGGACGAAGACGAAGGGGGUGGACGGGCGGCGGCGGCGGCUACAAAGGUAGCGGCGGCGACGGCCAAAGAAGAGCGGCAGCGGCGGCCUGAAGGCGGCGGCGGCGGCUAGGUUAGGAGUGCGGCAGCGGUGCUCGACGUAGGCGAAGAACCCUGACAUCAUGACGAAGACCGGCGUGGACGGUGGCGUUCCCGCGCCAAGGGAGACGGCGCGGCGCAUACCACGGGAGGUCGACGCGCGGUGACGGCGGUGGACCGCGGGCCGCGGCGCUACGGCCCGAAGGGGCGAUGCGGCGGCGGCAGGCAGGUCGGGGUGACGACGGAAGACCUCGGGACGGUCGCAGGGACCGCGGGCCGCGGUGCUAUAGCCCGAAGGGGCGGCACAGCGGCGGAGCGCGGGGUGGUGCAACCGCGUGGACGGCCUCGAGACNNNNNNNNNNNNNNNNNNNNNNNNNNNNNNNNNNNNNNNNNNNNNNNNNNNNNNNNNNNNNNNNGUGACGGCGGUGGACCGCGGGCCGCGGCGCUACGGCCCGAAGGGGCGACGCGGCGGCGGCGGGCAGGUCGGGGUGACGACGGAAGACCUCGGGACGGUCGCAGGGACCGCGGGCCGCGGUGCUAUAGCCCGAAGGGGCGGCACAGCGGCGGAGCGCGGGGUGGUGCAACCGCGUGGACGGCCUCGAGACGGCGGCGUGGACCGCGUGCCACGCUCGCUACGGCCCGACGGGGCGACGCAGCGGCGGCGCGAGGGUCGGUGCAGCCACGGGGACGGCCUGGAGUGGACGACCUCGGGGCGGCGGUAGACCGCGGGCCGCGGCACUACGGCCCGAAGGGGCGACGCAGCGGUGACGCGGGUCGGUGCAGCCGGGAGGAGAACCACGGGGCGGCGGCGCUGCGGCCCGACGGGGCGACGCAGCGGCAGCCCGUUGCUCGAUCGACGGAGGGGCGCGCUGAACUCGGAGACGAUCUUCACGGGACCUGCGAAGGCGCGCGUAACCGACGGGCCAGGUCGGUCGCGCGGCGUAGAUGAGGCUGAUAGCGGCGGCGAGCGGGUGAUCAAGCCGAUCGCGCGCGAGGUCGGGGACACCGCUCGGUGAAGGCGUGGUGGCGGCGGAGUCCGAGAUGAAGCCGGCGGCGGCGGGCGGCAGGGCGGCUAUGAUUGGCCGCCGCAUGGCGCGAGGCCGCCGGGUCGGGAAGAUGCAGGAGUCCCGGUCGGAGCAGGCGGUGACGGCCGGCGUAGAUCAACGGGCGGGCCGUCGCGCGAACGGCGGCGGUGAAGGGCCACCGCAUGAUGCGAGGCCGCCGGGUCGGGGCGACCGGCGGGUAGACGCGUGGAAGACGCGCGAGGCCGCCAGGUCGGUGAAGACGCCGGUGUAGUCGAUGCCGAAGUCGGAGUAGAGGCGCACGGGGUCGAUGGCGGCGGUGGGCGACGCAAAGCGGAUCACAAAGACCGGAAAACCAAAAAGUAGACGCCGAUCAAAGCGACCGGCGAGAGAGAAAAACCCAGAUCAAAGGAUCGGGAAAAAAGACUCUCUAGGGCAGCCGGCCAACACGGCCGGCGGACGAACCCUAGGUACGGGCGGCGCGGCCCCCGGCGGCGGUCAUGGAGGCCGACCGCCCCAGGGGCGGCGCGCAAGUGCGGAAGCGGCGGCGGCUAGGGUUUAGGAUCGACUUGCGAUAGAUACCAUGUUGGAGGGGAAAGAGAGGAUUGGUGGAAUAAUGUUGUUGUAUUGCUUGAGCCUCGUGGGCAUAUAUAUAGGAGUACAAUGAUCUAUUUGGAGUACAAGGCAAGCCAGAAUAUUUCCUAGUCUAACCUAUGUUUCCUAUACAAUCACGUUACUCAACAUACUCGACUUAAGUUGCAUGCUAUGUAUGGAUGAUUUACACUAUUUUCUAUUCGAACUUUGAUGAAUAUCGGUGGAUUUGCACGAUUUUCGUUUGGUUAGUUCAAAUGCGGGUCGAAAUGUGUACGAGCAACAUUGGAUGACUGCCUCCUACAUUCGUGUUCGUGGACUGAUCCCUCGUCCACGAACAGAUACAGAAGGAAAUUUGCGGGUCGCCGUUGGAGAUGUCCAAAGCAGAAAGAACAACUUCUCAAGCACACAAGUACCUAUAGAUCUUACCCAUUUACGUAUGCAUUUAUCAGUAAAUGUUAAGGUUUUCUUAUAACAUAAAAGGAUAUGACAUUUUGGUACUCUCCAAGUAUAGUAGAAAGUCUCUAAGCCCCCGCAAAAAGAAAUUGUCUCUUAAGAAUAUUGGGGCGUUCUUUUACAAAAAUACAAAUGUGAACGUGGUUUCACGUUCACCUAUGCGAAUAUUAAAUUUUUGAGAAAAUAGUAAAAAAAAACUGAAAUUUAGGGGUAUCAAACUUGAUCAACCAUUUUACUCAUGUGUGAAAUUUCGUGCACAAAUGACACCCUGGUAUUUUUAUGAAGAAAAUAUAAUUUUGACCUUAUUAUUCAUCACACAAUGUUUUUUAAUAUAGCCUUGAUAUUUUUUUCAUUUUUGCCCAGAAUAUCACGGGUGUCAUUUCUUCGUGAAACUUCAUACAUUGGUAUACCGGUCGACUAUAUAUAUUAAUUUACCAUAUUCAUAAGGGGUCUGUGUGAAACCGUGUUCACCAAAUCCGUGGCCCAUUUUUAUAACUAGUACUGUACGUACUAGUAUAUUGGAUAUUGUGAGGAGUUUAGUAGAGUUUUUUAACACAUGUAGAGUUUUCAGACUUAAUCAUUUCUUGGCUAUGUACUCCUCUCUUAGAUGGUGAAACAUCACUGGUCGGUAUCAAAAUCAAAAUCAUAUGUACAGCUAGCCAUGGGACCACACGUGUUUUUGCAGGCUUGAUGAGACCCAAUAAUGCAUUAUUUCGCUGUAUUCUCGAAGUCACUGAAUUUUUCUUCAAACGAACAGCGAUGAUACGUUGGUGCUGGAUGUGGCGCCACGACGCUGUCGACGCUGCAGCCGUGCGUUACGUACGUAUCCGUCCAAAUCCCUUGCAUGUCGCUAUUACUACUCUCGCGUGCCUUCUUUUGCUCUCUUCUCGCAGUCAAUAAUACUUGCAGCAGUACGAGUUUUCUUUUGUAGGUAGAAGAACAAUGUAGACCGACUUGCAUGUGCCGAAACACGUAGGGGUUUCUACAAUUUUGAUACGACAUAGCAACACUGUUGAGCAGCACAGAUUUACGAUUCAGUGUAUUGGAAUAUAUUGCUCAUCUUUUUUCAUCAGUUCAGACUUUUGAGGCAACUAGCUGGAAUAUGAAUUCAAUACAUUGCAUCACCGUAACAAAAUUGCAAUUCCAUUCUCAUUAUGUAGUCGAUACAACAGUGCAUUGUUGACAGAUAUAUCUGGAAAUGAGGGCCAUGCAUGUUGUUUUCAAUUGGACAUAAUAUUGCUACACAAUAUUUGUUGACAGUAUAUGUUGCGUCUGUCUAACGCCUCAUAGCAGUAGCAGUUGUAUAUACUUAUGUAGUAGCCAAAAUCAGAGUAUACGUGUAUAGGCAGUAUGGCCAAGGCACCGCGUGUUUCUCGCUCCUUGCCACAUCACGAGCAGACUAUGCUAGGUGAGAACGAAAAAUGAUGGGAGUUUUCUUGCGACUAAUCUCUGAAAUAAAUGAGGUUCGUUGGUUGGUGUUGCAUCUUGCAUGUGGCGCCACGACUCUGUUGACGCAGCACCGCGUAUCUUCCAGAUCCCGUGUCUCAGUUGCCUGUUGAAACCAAACACAAUAUUUCUCUAUUAUCACAACUCACAAGUGCCAAAUUUUACUUAGCCGUGUCUUCUGUCGGCCUGUCCUCUUGCAACGGAGUAAUGUGUCCUGGAUACACGAACGUCGGAAUGAACCUUGUAUGUGUCGAAACGUAGGCAGAGGGUCAUCGAAGGACAAACAUCUGGCUGAUUUCGCAUAAUAUAUAAGAUGACAAGCGAUAAAAUCAGCCAGCACGUAACAGGAUUUCUUCUGAAAUACUCUGUAAAAAAUAUAAGAACGUCUAGAUCGCUAAUAUUUCUUAAAGAGGGAGUACUUUUUUUUGCGAGAAAACUUCCAAUCUAUUCAUCUUCAAUCAUGAUAGUACAACGAACGCUAGAAAUAAUAAAAAUUACAUCCAGAUUCGUAAACCACCUAGCGACGACUACAAGCACUGAAGCGAGCCGAAGGCGCGCCGCUGUCAUCGCCCCUUCCUCGCCGGAGCCGGGCAAACCUUGUUGUAGUAGACAGUCGGGAAGUCGUCGUGCUAAAGCCCCAUAAAACCAACGCACCAGAACAGCAAUCGCCGCUGACGAGUGCUACCUACAUCCUUUUUUGCUGUAAAGAGUAGAACAUUUAUCUUUGUUCUUUUUGUGGGCAACAUUGGUCUUUUUUACAAAAAGCAUCAAUUUAUUAUAAAAACUCAUCGGAAGCACAAAGCAUUUCAAAUAUAAUAAAAAUUACAUCAAGAUUAAGAGACCACCAAACAACCAUUACUACCAACAGAAUGAGCCGCCGACAUUGAGCAUUAUUUAUGUAAGGAAUAUUAGUUUUAUUUUUAGCUAAUGUUUACACACUAAUAUUUAGAUUAUACUAUUAAUUAAGAAAAAAACUGUAAAAAGAAAUAUCUAGAUGUAGGAUAGUUGUCCCCAAAUUUUACAGGAAAGACCGCAUGGAAACAUACAAAUACAUGUGGGCCCUCAAGAAAAUCCUUCUGAAUUGAAUGCAUCGCCGCUCGCUUUGUCAUUGCAUCAUCAGAGGAGAGAAGGAAGAUGAGAAGAGCAACAACUGUGUCGUCCACACAGACCUGUCGUGUAAGACAUGAAUUGGGGGCGGAAGAGGCCGAAUUAGCAAUAAAAAGAACAUGUGUUCCCCUAAGUGGAUUAGUGUAAAUGUCAUACCAAUUAAGGAGUAACCUUCUUUCCUAAGUGUAUAGAAGGUGUGUUAGUCCAUAAGUUUGCGAGCAAAGAUGAUUGAUGAACCCCAUAGCUAGAGAGAGAAGAAAGAUGACAUAUUUGAAAAUGUAUCUUUUUUUUCUCUUGAUCUUGAGUCAUAGGAUAGCCACACUAUUAAGAGUGGUCUUAUGAUGAACUUAAAGCGAUGAUUUUCGGUUGAGGAUUUAAAGUGAUAAUUAUGUUGCCUACAUAUAUCCAAAUACAUAGACUAAGUUCCAUACAUAAUUUCACCAAAUAGCCUUGGUGAGAUUUCCAUUUCCAAAUAUUCCAGAGGAGAGUUUUUGUGUGGCUCGAAACAUCGUUUCAGAUGUUUCGAGACGAUGUUUCACGGUGUCCAGAAUCCGGGUUACUUUCCAUAUUAUGUUCUGGAAGUGGCAUAGCAAAAGUAUUGGGUUGUUCCAAAACCCAACUACGAAACCUACUCUGAAAUCAAAACUAGUGAAAGAUCGAAGUAGAACGACUAGGAAGGGAAGAGGUGAAUAGGCGUUUAUCAAAACUCUUUGAAAUAAAGAAAUCCAUUGCAGAAAAUAUAGAUAACAAACUAUAAUAGUGUGCAGUGCCAAAGAAAUCUAGGAAGAUAACUAGUGAAACAUACAAGCAUGUAUGGAAACAACUAAGUAAAAAAACAUUGCAAUGACCGAGGUAAGCUAGGAAAGCAUUAAACAAUGCUGAGAGAUAUGCUGAGGAACUUAACUAGCAACAGGAAGAAAUGCUUCAAACUAAACAACUUGAAAAACACUUAACAAAAUUAAGCGGUGGAAAGAUAAGUGCUCGGAAAGACUUCACAACAGUCACAAAGAGUGACAGAGAGAGAAACUCCUCAAAACAUGGCAAAGUAUUGAAAGUAAAGGUUCAUAAGGUAUGUGAAGAAACGAUGAUUUCUUUAACAAAGUUCAAACUAUUGGCAACAAUUGUACAUCUUGGUUGGAGAGGUUGAGCACACUGGGCCGAGGACACACAAGUCCUCACCUUUUUCUCCUUGAGUUAAGUUCCUCGGAACUCGUCCAAUACUCAUGGUAGAUUUUGCGGUGAUCUUCGAUCCGGUGCAAACUUGUCCUUCAGUGAAUCCAAACUUUCGAUUCUUACAGAACUAUGCCUAACCGUCUAGAGGACGCCAAGUUCUCAAGAGUAAUAGAUCACGAGCUAGGAUCGAGCUGAUUCUUCAGUGAUGCUCAGUCACUUUCUGUUCUUCGCCUUGGGUGGUUUUCCUCACUUAGGAUUGGUUCACAUCUCUGCGAGGAAGGACACUCUUUGCAGACGUAGCAAAAUAUCACUCGAGCAACCACCCGUUAUCUACAGGGGCAAGGGCUAUAUAUAGCUGGCACACUGCCCCUGAGUACCGAUAUGACUAUUGGAUGAGACACACUCACCAACGCGCUACUCAUCAGUGAGGAAAGUAACUCGGGCGACUUGGAAGAAUUAACUUCAUCACGGGACCUAGUAGGCUCGCUUGGAAGGAGAUUUCCAAUUAAGUCUUCACUCACAAGUGUAUAUAGGUUCAGACUAAGCACACACAUGAAGACUUUUAGUCUUGCUUCACUUUGAUCCCCCUUAAUAGUAUAGUUUGUCCUACGACUCAAUGAAGAAUUAAAUAAACUAGUAAGUAACAAUCGCUCUUCGGUCUUCAAUUUUUCAAUGGCAUUCCCGAAGACUUCAAUGAUCCGUCAACUUUUGUAAUGGUUGUAAUCCUUUGGUUAAACUAAAUCAUCAAGGAUUUUCACUUGUGCAUAUUUAACAUACAUAUUAGUCCCUUAAAUGUUUUGUCAUUAAUCAUCAAAAUCUACCAGGGGUAGUAGAUGCACUUACAACUAGCUUCUGGGAUGUGUUAAGAAAUUGGCCUAUAACUUCCAAGAGCUUAGAAAGUUGCGGGGCCAUAUCUAGAACCUAUCCCCCAAAUCCGGCAGUCCAAACUCUAUAGUAGAUGUUCCGCGAUAGCUUCCGGGUGGUCGAAGUUAACCCUAACAGACAUAUUUCAAAGUGGGCUAUAUAAAGGUCCACUCAUUCUUCCCCAAGUGUUUUCUUCUUUUCCUACUCGUGUUGAGCAUAUUUCUCUCUCAUACUCCAUUUCACAGGCUCUGAGCCUUGAAUCCUUUCACAUCCAUUCUUUAAGGAAAAAAUAGAGAGGAGCCCCGAUCUACUUUCUCACCAAAGGAAAUUGAGUUCCCUUUUGAUUUCAUCAUUUGGCUUUACUCUUGAAGGUCAAAGACUUCUAGGUGGUAGGAGUCUCCGGUGAAGGAAUCAAAUUGUGUGUGACGGUUUGGAUCUCUCCUCAAGGUCUACCCACUAGUGGUUAAGAAUCUCCUCUAUGGUGAUGUCUCAAGGAAAAAGGUGAGCCUUUGUGGCGUUUCUUGUUCCUUUAUGGAACUCCCGCCUCUCCAUUUGUGACUAGCUCCCUUCCAAGGGAGGGAACACUAGGAUACAUCCUCGUGUUGGGGAACAUAGUAAUUUCAAAAAAAUUCCUACGCACACGCAAGAUCAUGAUGAUGCAUAGCAACGAGAGGGGAAAGUGUUGUCCACGUACCCUCAUAGACCAAAAGCGGAAGCGUUAGCACAAUGCGGUUGAUGUAGUCAUACAUCUUCACGAUCCGACCGAUCAAGUACCGAACGUACGACACCUCCGAGUUCAGCACACGUUCAGUCCGAUGACGCCCCUCGAACUCCGAUCCAGCCAAGUGUUGAGGGAGAGUUUCGUCAGCACGACGGCGUGGUGACGAUGUUGAUAUUCUAUCGACGCAAGGCUUCGCCUAAGCACCGCUACAGUAUUAUCGAGGUGGACUAUGGUGGAGGGGGGCACCGCACACGGCUAAAAGAUCAACUUGAUCAAUUGUUGUGUCUAUGGGGUGCCCCCUGCCCCCGUAUAUAAAGGAGAAAGGGGGUGCGGCCGGCCAGGGAGAGGGCGCUCCAGGAGGAGUCCUACUCCCACCGGGAGUAGGACUCCCCCCCCCCUUUCCUAGUUGGAAUAGGAUUCGGGAGGGGGAAAGAGGAGGGAGAGAAGGAAAGGGGGCGCCGCCCCCCUCUCCUUGUCCUAUUCGGACUAGGGGGGAGAGGCGCGCGGCCCAGCCCUGGCCGCCUCUCCUCUUCUCCGUAAAGGCCCACUAAGGCCCAUUUACCUCCCGGGGGGUUCCGAUAACCUCCCGGUACUCCGGUAAAAUCCCGAUUUCACCCGGAACACUUCUGAUAUCCAAACAUAGGCUUCCAAUAUAUCAAUCUUCAUGUCUCGACCAUUUCGAGACUCCUCGUCAUGUCCGUGGUCACAUCUGGGACUCCGAACAACCUUCGGUACAUCAAAACAUAUAAAAUCAUAAUAUAAUUGUCAUCGUAACGUUAAGUGUGCGGACCCUACGAGUUCGAGAACCAUGUAGACAUGACCGAGACACGUCUCCGGUCAAUAACCAAUAGCGGAACCUGGAUGCUCAUAUUGGCUCCUACAUAUUCUACGAAGAUCUUUAUCGGUCAAACCGCAUAACAACAUACGUUGUUCCCUUUGUCAUCGGUAUGUUACUUGCCCGAGAUUCGAUCGUCGGUAUCUCAAUACCUAGUUCAAUCUCGUUACCGGCAAGUCUCUUUACUCGUUCUGUAAUACAUCAUCCCGCAACUAACUCAUUAGUUGCAAUGCUUGCAAGGCUUAAGUGAUGUGCAUUACCGGGAGGGCCCAGAGAUACCUCUCCGACAAUCGGAGUGACAAAUCCUAGUCUCGAAAUACGCCAACCCAACAAGUACCUUUGGAGACACCUGUAGAGCACCUUUAUAAUCACCCAGUUACGUUGUGAUGUUUGGUAGCACACAAAGUGUUCCUCCAGUAAAUGGGAGUUGCAUAAUCUCAUAGUCAUAGGAACAUGUAUAAGUCAUGAAGAAAGCAAUAGCAACAUACUAAACGAUCGGGUGCUAAGCUAACGGAAUGGGUCAUGUCAAUCACAUCAUUCUCCUAAUGAUGUGACCCCGUUAAUCAAAUGACAACUCAUGUCUAUGGUUAGGAAACAUAACCAUCUUUGAUCAACGAGCUAGUCAAGUAGAGGCAUACUAGUGACAAUCCGUUUGUCUAUGUAUUUACACAUGUAUUAUGUUUCUGGUUAAUACAAUUCUAGCAUGAAUAAUAAACAUUUAUCAUGAUAUAAGGAAAUAAAUAUCAACUUUAUUAUUGCCUCUAGGGCAUAUUUCCUUCAGUCUCCCACUUGCACUAGAGUCAAUAAUCUAGAUUACACAGUAAUGAUUCUAACACCCAUGGAGCCUGGGUGCUGAUCAUGUUUUGCUUGUGGAAGAGGCUUAGUCAAUGGGUCUGCAACAUUCAGAUCCAUAUGUAUCUAGCAAAUUUCUAUGUCUCCCACCUAGACUAAAUCCCGAAUGGAAUUGAAGCAUCUCUUGAUGUGCUUGGUUCUCUUGUGAAAUCCGGAUUCCUUUGCCAAGGCAAUUGCACCAGUAUUGUCACAAAAUAUUUUUAUUGGACCCGAUGCACUAGGUAUGACACCUAGAUCGGAUAUGAACUCCUUCAUCUAGACUCAUUCACUUGCUGCUUCCGAAGCAACUAUGUACUCCGCUUCACAUGUAGAUCCCGCCACAACGCUUUGUUUAGAACUGCACCAACUGACAGCUCCACCGUUCAAUGUAAACACGUAUCCAGUUUGCGAUUUAGAAUCGUCCGGAUCAGUGCCAAAGCUUGCAUCAAUGUAACCGUUUACGAUGAGCUCUUUUUCACCUCCAUAUACGAGAAACAUAUCCUUAGUCCUUUUCAGGUAUUUCAGGAUCUUCUUGACCGCUGUCCAGUGAUCCACUCCUGGAUUACUUUGGUACGUCCCUGCUAGACUUAUAGCAAGGCACACAUCAGGUCUGGUACACAGCAUUGCAUACAUGAUAGAGCCUAUGACUGAAGCAUAGGGAACAUCUUUCAUUUUCUCUCUAUCUUCUGCAGUGGUCGGGCAUUGAGUCUUACUCAACUUCACACCUUGUAACACAGGCAAGAACCCUUUCUUUGAUUGAUCCAUUUUGAACUUCUUCAAAACUUUGUCAAGGUAUGUGCUUUGUGAAAGUCCAAUUAAACGUCUUGAUCUAUCUCUAUAGAUCUUGAUGCCCAAUAUAUAAGCAACUUCACCGAGGUCUUUCAUUGAAAAACUCUUAUUCAAGUAUCCCUUUAUGCUAUCCAGAAAUUCUAUAUCAUUUCCAAACAACAAUAUGUCAUCCAUAUAUAAUAUUAGAAAUGCUACAGAGCUCCCACUCACAUUUUUGUAAAUACAUGCUUCUCCAAAAGUCUGUACAAAACCAAAUGCUUUGAUCACACUAUCAAAGCGUUUAUUCCAACUCCGAGAGGCUUGCACCAGUCCAUAAAUGGAUCGCUGGAGCUUGCACACUUUGUUAGCUCCCUUUGGAUCGACAAAACCUUCCGGUUGCAUCAUAUACAACUCUUCUUCCAGAAAUCCAUUCAGGAAUGCAGUUUUGACAUCCAUUUGCCAAAUUUCAUAAUCAUAAAAUAUGGAAAUUGCUAACAUGAUUCGGACAGACUUAAGCAUCGCUACGGGUGAGAAAGUGUCAUCGUAGUCAAUCCCUUGAACUUGUCGAAAACCUUUGAAAGGACAUGCGGUGCCCCCAUGUGUGGUUUUGGUAAUUGAUGACAAUCUCUAUGGACUAACGGUUGCCUUGAGUUAUAUAUGAAGGAUUUGUCCAUAGGAUUGUCUUGAAGUCCAUGUGUUGGUUUCAAGGAGUUUAUGAGAUGGCCAAAGUGCUUUUCAAGGAAUUAUCCAAAGAUUGGUCAUGUGUGAGUUGAGCUUAUUGCAAGCAUAUCUUGAAGAAGAAGAUUGUGUGAUCAUUCAUGUUUACCUUCAAGACAUCAUCCAAAUGAAGAGAGUUGGAAAGAUUCAAUGUUGAUCAAGACUAAGUCAAGAGUGAAUCAAGUUGAUCAACUCACAAAGCAUAGAAGAAGUACCGAGAGGGAUCAAGUGAUCCCAUGGUAUGGUAAGCAUUGUCCAUUACGCUUUGUGUACUAACCCAUGGUCUACGUGAGAGUUCUUUGUGGGGUUAGGUAUGUUUCCAUGGUCUUGCGUCAAGAGGAAGAUCUCAUACAACCCAUGGAGGAUGACAUCAAGUGGUGAUCGUCAUCAAGUUUGCAGUGUGCAAGUUCAAGUGGAGAAACUCGAAGACUGGCUCACCCAUAAUGGCGUAUGGGGGAGCAAUCAAGCUUGAAGCUUGCCGUCCAUUGUGGUGUCAAUGGAAUUGUGAAUAUGUGCCAAAGAGUGGCUCACCCAUAGUGGAGUAUGGGGGAGCAAUCAACUAGUCUUCAUCGAGCCAACACAAUCAAGAAAGGUGGUCCAACUUGAGGAAGUCAAGAUCGUCAUCAUCUAGCUCAAGUGGACUAUGUGCAAGGCAAAGGUUUGCCCUUGAUAGGUUUUCUAUUUUACCGGUCUCAUAGUGGUAGUUGGGAGACCGGGUUGUAGGAUGGAUUGUCGUACUAUCAAGGGGGGCUCUCUAGGGAGUAGCUUGAUCGUAUCAUUCGUCGAGAGCUCAAACCAUUCCAUCCUUGCAUCAUCUUUCUUGGUUCUUGUUUGGUUCCAUUUGUGAGUCUUAGAGCUUAUGUUCAUCUUGAUGACAAGCUUGAGUUCAUUGAAAACGGAGUUCGCAUGCAUCUUCUAUGAUGUUUUCGGUGUUGGAGGUUUUGCCGGUCUUAUCCAAGGAAGGGUUCUCACCAUUUUAUUAUGGUCCUUUUCUCAUUUGCUUAUUAUUGAUAUUUCUCCCAAGAUUGUGUUAGCCUUUGUCGUUAGAUUUCCAACAAACUUGGUUUCGUUGAAUUCGGAGCUCAUAUGCGAAAGUUGUGGCUGUUUUGAUAUUGCAUGUUUUACACAGAGAGGUUGUACCACCCCAUGGAGAGGUUGUACCGCUUGACCGGUACAACCGGUGUUUGGAGCGGUUGUACCGCUCCAGAAUUGGUCCGGAGGUUGUACCGGUCAUGUACCGCUCUACCACCGGACUGGUCUCUGUUGUGGUGCGGUUGUUGGGCGGUUGUGGGCCGGUUGUACCGCUUAUUGCCUGUUACCGGUUGUACCGGUGCUCAUAGAGGUUGUACCGCUCCUAUGUUGUUCUGUACAUAACGGGCAGAUUCAUGGGGACCUAUUUAAGGGGGUCUUCUUCCCCAAUGGUUCCCUAUCUCUCGAGCUCAUUUUUGCCCCCAUUGUUGACCUUCUUUGAGCUUGCUAACUCUCAAUCCCUCCAUGGAUUCUUGCUAGUUUUUGAGGGAAAGAGAGAGGAGAUCUAGAUCCACAUUUCCACCAAUCACUUUCUCCUCUAUGUGAGGGGAACCCCUUGGAUCUAGAUCUUGGAGUUCUUGGUGUUCUCCUUCUUGUUCUUCCUCUCAUUUUCCUCCCUAGCAUUAGUUGCUCCGGUGCGAUUUGAGAGAGAAGGACUUGGGCACUCCGUGUGCCCUUGCCAUUGCAUUUGGUGCAUCGGUUUGAGUUCUCCACGGUGAUACGUGGAAGUGAAGUUUGAGAAGCUUAUUACUCUUGGGUGUUUGGGCACCCUAGAGCUUGUUCCUCUUGGGUGUCUUGGCGCCCUAGAUGGUUGGUGUUGUUCGGAGCUCAAUCAUUGUGGUGUAAAGCUCCGGGCAAGCAUCGGGGUCUCCAAUUAGGUUGUGGAGAUCGCCCCGAGCAAUUUGAUGGGUACCCGUGACCGCCCCCAAGGGUUGCCAAAGUGUACGGGUUCGGUGACCGCCCCCAAGGGUUGCCAUUUGUACGGGUUCGGUGACCGCCCUCAAGGGUCCCUUAGUGGAAUCACGACAUCUUGCAUUGUGCGAGGGCGUGAGGAGAUUAUGGUGGCCCUAGUGGCUUCUUGGGGAGCAUUGUGCCUCCACAGCGCUCCAAACGGAGAUUAGCAUCCGCAAGGGUGUGAACUUCGGGAUACAUCUCGUCUCCGCAUGCCUCGGUUAUCUCUUACCCAAGCUCUUUACUUAUGCACUUUACUUUGUGAUAGCCAUAUUGUUUCUUGUCAUAUAUCUUGCUAUCACAUAGUUGCUUAUCUUGCUUAGCAUAAGUUGUUGGUGCACAUAGGUGAGCCUAGUUGUUUUAGGUUUUGUGCUUGACAAAUUAACCGCUAGGUUUAUUCCGCAUUUGUUCUAGCCUAAAUCGUAAUUAUUUUAAAACGCCUAUUCACCCCCCUCUAGGCGACAUCCACGAUCUUUCAAUUGGUAUCAGAGCCUUGUCUCUCUUUAUUAGGCUUUACCGCCUAGAGAGUAAAGAUGUCGACUAGGGGAUUAGGAUUCUCUGACACUCUUAGUUUCGGUGGCACAAAUUUUGAUGUUUGGGUAAUUCGCAUGCUUAAUCUCUUUAGGGUCAUGGACCCAAAUUUAGAGCGAAUUGUAGAUAUGGGUUAUUCUCCUCCAAAGGAUCCCCAAAGAUUAUCUUUAGAGGAUGAGAAAAACUCUUAUCUCAAUGCUCAAGCUUCUAAUGUGCUUUUCGAUGCUUUGAGCAAUGUAGUUAUAUUUCAACUCAUGUCGUUCUGGGAUGCUCAUGAGUUGUGGAAAAAGCUUCAAGAAAAAUAUGGUGUGUCCAAGAUUUGUGGGGAUGAUUGUUCUCCCUCCACCUUCGGUCGUAUAGUCUUCUCAACUUCUUCUACUUCACCUACAUGUGGUUUGCCACAAGGUAAUGAUAUGGUGAGUAGUGUUGGUCAUUGCAAUGAUGAUAGUAUGCUUAUUGUGGAUGAUCCUUCAUCACUAUCUUAUUGCAAUGCUCCUUCUUUGGGCUUUAACACUUCGAGCACUCGAAAUGUUUCAUAUGCUUGUGUUCAUAGUCCUUGCAUAUCAUGUAGAAAUUGCUUUACUAAAUAUCAUGAUGAUAUGUUUACUAUGUCUUGUUGCCAUGAUAAAAAUGCAUAUAUUUCCUCGAAUUGUUGUGCUAACAAUGUAGAGGAAAUCCAACACCCCAUGGAACAAGAUGUGGUCUUGAAUGGUGCUUCAACGGAUCCUACAUCAUCAUCUAUUGCAUUUUGCCUUAUGGCCAAGGCUUCAAAGGUAUCUCCCACUUUGAAUCCCAAUAUAUCUUGUGAUGAUAUUGAUGAUGGCAAGAGUGAUGAUGAUGUUGAUUAUGAUGAAGAGAAUGAUGAUGUUGCCUCCUUAAAAAUUAAGGGGGAAAUGAUUUUUAAAGCUCUUCUUAAGAAUAAAAUUGCGCGUUCCAACUUCAUGGAAAUCAUGUCUAUUGCUAUUGAGGGCAAGAAAUAUAUUGAUGAGUUGGAAUCUCGUCUUGAGGAGCAUGAGGUCACCAUUGAUCAAAUGAAAGGUCAUGAGCGUGAUUACGCUAAUGAGAUUGCGGACCUCUCUCAAGCUCUUGAACUUGAACAAACCACCAAGGAAUCUCUUGAGGAGACUUUUGCUCUAGAAUUAUCUAGAGUGAGGGAAUCUCGUGAUAGAGCUCUUUAGGUGGCCAAUGAUUUUGAAACUAAAAAUGAGGAGCUUGAAGUUGUGCAUGCUAAACUCUUGAGGACUUUGAGCACCUCGAAAAUGGCUCAAGGGUCAUUAAGGGUGAGCUCAUCAAACUCACCGAGUCUCAUGCUCAACUUAAAGCUUCUUAUUCAAAAGAGCUUGCCAAGUUGUCUUCUCCUCUUGUUGCUAAUGAUGAUGCUUGUGCUACUAACUCUAUCUAUUGUGAAGCAUCCAUAAUGAAGGAGAAUGUUGAGCUUCGGGCUCAACUUGAGUUGCUAUCUAGCAAUUAUGGGAAAUUGGAAGAAAACCAUGAAAAGCUCUCAAGCUCUCAUGAUGAUCUUCUAGUAUCCCAUAAUGAGCUAAAGAUAUCUCAUGAGGCCAUGAUUUAUAAGGUAACAUCUAGUGAGCCUCAUGUGGAUACUAGCACUAAUUCUAGUCAAAAUGCUAUAUUGCCAUGUGUUAGUCCUUGUAAUUCAUCUACUCACAAUGUUGGUACAUCUUGUGAUGAAUUGCUUUCCUUGCCUUGUUGCUCUAACGAUGAAGCUUAUACUUCCUCUAGUACUUGUGUUGAGACUAACCAUGUAGAGGAAAUCAAAGAUCUCAAGGCCCAAGUCACUUCUUUGAAGAAAGACUUGGAAAAGAGUCAUGAAGGGAAAUCCACACUCAACAAUAUCUUGAGUGUGCAAAAAUCCCCCAAUGACAAAGGUGGACUUGGAUUCAACUCCAACAAGAAGAAGAAGUCCAAGGUGAACAAAAGGAAGGGCCAAGAACAAGUCAAGAAUUCGGCCAAGAUUGUUUGCUUCAAGUGCAAAGUAGAAGGGCAUCAUGUUAGAUCUUUCCCAUUGAAGAAGAAGCGCAUUAGUGACAAGCAACAAGGGAAGCAGCCACAAGUACACUCUCAUUCUCAACCUCAAGUUGAAGAAAAGCCUCUUCCCAAGAAGACUCAAGCUUAUGCUUCUCAAGUUGAGAAAUCAAGUGAGAAGAAAGUGAAGAGUACACGUUGCUACCUAUGUCGCGAGAAAGGUCACCUCGCCUCUUCAUGCACUAGUGGUAACUUAUCCAACCCAAUUAUUAUUGAUGAUGUCUAUUCUCUUGGGAAGGAUAAGGUUGGCAAUGUGGUUGCCAAGUUUGUUGGUACUCAAAGUGGUUUGAAGCAAAGAACCAUUUGGGUAGCCAAGCCUAUUGUGACUAACCUCUUAGGACCCAACUUGGUUGGGGACCAACAAGCUCAAACUUGAUCAAUAGGUGAUGUUGGAGGUCAUUGGAGACUUGGCUAUAUUAUGAAGAAUUAAGGGUACUUCAUCAUUCUUAUUGUCUCAAGCCAAGUCAAUUGAAUCAUCAAGAUUAUAUCUUAUAUCCAAUGUGCCUCCUUGCGGUAACUUGUACCUCAACUGCUUACAUUGAAAGUUACUUGCCCCCUUGCAUGUUUUGGUUUUGUUCCUUGCAUGUGUUUGUAUAUGUUGUGCUUCCAACUUGAUUAUCUUGAUCAAUCAAGUAUGUGUGUGUUGGUUUGCACAUCAUGUACGUGUGUGUCAUGCGUUGAGCCUUUUGCAUCUUGUUUAUUUCUUAGUUGGCUCUUGUGAGAGAUUAAUGGAAUAUCCCAUUAUGGGGGAGUGAUGUGCUUUGUGCACUUCACAAUCCUAUAAAGGUGGGUACAUGGGGAAUAUCACUUAGUAUUGAUAUUGCAAGCUUAUCUAGUCACUAUGUGGUAUGUCUUCUCAUGAGAUAUUCAAAUUCUAAAUAGUCCAUUAAUUAUCUCUUGUUGGAUCCUUUAAUUGCCUCUUGUCUAUCUUUAAUUGGUAUCACAUUAUGGGGGAUUAAUAUGCUAUGAGUGUAUUACUAGCCUAGAAAAUGUGUACAUUUGAGAUAUUGCCAUCUAGAGUUGAUAUUGUAAAUUAUCUUGUUCCUAGGUGGCAUGUUAGCUCUACAAGUUGCAAUUUGCUUUUUGUUUGGUGUGAAGAUGAUGUCGGAUAUCCUUGCUAUCUACCACCGGGAAUUAUUUCCAAAUACUUCUUGUCUUUUGACAAUUGGUACUCACUUGUGUGGUAGAUAUUAUUGAUCAUCUUUACAUUAGCCUUUGCUUUUAUUUGCCUUAUCUCUUGCCUAGGAUUGUGUCAACUCCCAUUGUAUUCCAUACCACUUGUGGAUCUUUUUAUUUCCUUGAGCUUGUCUAGUGUUUGUAUAGAUAUAGUGAAAGUGGUGAUCCCAUCUUGUGCUUUUUGUAUUCAAAUGCAAAUUCUCCAUAUUACACAAUGCUUGGGGAGCUAUCCUAUUUUUCUUAUAACACUCACCUUGUGAUCCUUUUCAAGUGUGUGUUGGUGGAAUGCAAAUCGUUUCUUUUGGUACUUGUGACAUCAUGAAACUUUGUAGAGCACUUGGUUUGUUUGGAACCAUUCUCUCUUUUGGGAGUUUGACAUCUUUCUUUUUGUGUAUCAAUGGAUAUCUCAUUCCUUGAUGUGUCGUUUAAUGAUAUCCUCCAAGUGAUGAUUUAUUCAUUUGGUAUCCUUUCUUCACUUGGUAUUUCUUUUUCUUUUGGUAUCGGUUCUUGAAAGUCUUGAGCAUGCAUAUUAACUUCGUGUAGUAUCUUUGGCAUGCUUUCUUUGUUUGACCCGAUAUAUAGGGGAAACUCCACCAAGUCUCAAAUUGGAUGAGAUGUGCAUGAAAUUCAAUUUUGUAUCUAUAUGCACAUUUUUAUGUGGAGUUUGUCUUAUGUAUUGUUGGCUCUCUAACUCUUUGGUCCCAAUGAGUUUGGGUAUCAUUUUGUUUGAGUUGUUGUUCUAGGAACAAUUGGAGAUACAUUGGAUGCUCGGCUCACUCACAAGGAAGGUGUUGUCAUCAUGUGCUUAUUGGAGUCGAGCUAGGAUGAUCAAUGAACUACUAUCUACCUUCAAUUGGUAUCUACUACAUCCUUCCAAUGAUAUCUCGGUAACAAGUAUCUAUUCAUGCAUUAUUUUCUUGCAUUCAACCUUGUGUAGGUUGCAUCUUGGCAUGCUAUUCAUUCUUUCUUGUGAUACUUGUUUCCUUUCUCAAAGCAUCCCAACAAUGAUCUCUUGUUGCUAGUUGUGAUGUCUUUGAUGUUCAUGUGGUUGGAAUUCAUUUAUAUACAAUAAGAUCACAUCUAGCCAUGUGCUAUGCUCUCAAGCAAAUUUCUUAUUGGUAUAUUUAUGACUUCAUUGUGGAUAUCUUGUUCUUUCCUGUUUGUAACUAUGUCGUGUGUAUAUCCUUCUUUGUGGAUUGAUAUCAUCAUGAUUUUCAUCCACCUAGAAUCUUAUACACUUGAGAGGAGUUACAUAUGUAGUUGAUAUCCUUAUUCUUUCAUGUCCACCUUUCCUUGGUGGUUAUGUGAAAGGAUUUAUCUUGAGUGUGGAUCUUAUAUCUUUGCAUCUUGUUGCACUCUUGUGUGGUGAAGAUUAUUUUCCUCAUGCUUGUAUUUACGAGGCUUUUGCCAUCUUAAUUGGUAUCCCUCAUCUUGAUGAGGCUUUCAUCUUCUAUCUUCACCACGGGUUGUCACAAGCAUAUGUUCUUUAUAUGCUUAUUAGUAAGCUUGUGAAACCAUUUGUAGUUGUGUGUGGGAAUGAUAGGCCUUGCACCGUGUGCCUCAUUCUUUCAAGACUUUAUUGAUGCUUAAUGCUCAUUCGUACUUUAGUCUUCUCAAGUGUUUUGCCUUGACUCACACACAUCAUUUUGGUUGAGCCCUUUCUUAAGUUGCCUCUUUUACUUGUUGCUCAACCAUGUGUUUGUUGCAAGUACUAGGUUUUGUUUCCUUUCCUAUAUUCUCACUUACACUUGUUGUAAGUUUCUAUUGAUUUUGGGGGAGCUAUGAUCCUAUUUUGUGCACUUUGUAUCCAAAUACAAAAAUUCUUGAUGUGCACAAAUCAUGGGGAGCUUCUCUAGUUUCUUUAGAACACUGCUCCGCUCUUAUCAUAAUAUCCUUUAUUCAUGUGGCUCGUAGGAUCAUUGGCCUAGUUGGUUCAAUUGGUAUCUUUUGAUAGCUUGCUUCAAUUGGUAUCUUUUGAUUGCUUGACUGCUUGUUUCUCUCUUUGAUUAUAUCUUUGUGGCAUAUCUUCCUUUUGCAAUCUUUGGGCCUCAAUAUAGUUUGUCUUCCUCCAAGUAUUUACCGUUGGAUAUGUGUAUUGCAUAAAUGCACAAUUUAUGGAGGAACACAUUUUAUAUUGGCCUUCUAAGCUUUUAGCCAAUUUUGGCAAUCGAUGCCAAUGGGGGAGAAGUUUCAGAGAGUGUUGUGGAGAAGUUUAGAGAGUUGUCUCUUCUGGCUUUGGUUUGUUCCUAAGCAUACACAUCUCCUACGCAUGUUGGUUGUUGCAUUGCAUGGUGAUGCAUAAUGUUGGCUGUUGCAUUGCAUGGUGAUGCAUAAUUCCUUAUAUAAACUCUCUUGAAAGUGAUUGUCAUCAAUUAACAAAAUGGGGGAGAUUGAAAGGACAUGCGGUGCCCCCAUGCGUGGUUUUGGUAAUUGAUGACAAUCUCUAUGGACUAACGGUUGCCUUGAGUUAUAUUUGAAGGAUUUGUCCAUAGGAUUGUCUUAAAGUCCAUGUGUUGGUUUCAAGGAGUUUAUGAGAUGGCCAAAGUGCUUUUCAAGGAAUUAUCCAAAGAUUGGUCAUGUGUGAGUUGAGCUUAUUGCAAGCAUAUCUUGAAGAAGAAGAUUGUGUGAUCAUUCAUGUUUACCUUCAAGACAUCAUCCAAAUGAAGAGAGUUGGAAAGAUUCAAUGUUGAUCAAGACUAAGUCAAGAGUGAAUCAAGUUGAUCAACUCACAAAGCAUAGAAGAAGUACCGAGAGGGAUCAAGUGAUCCCAUGGUAUGGUAAGCAUUGUCCAUUACGCUUUGUGUACUAACCCAUGGUCUACGUGAGAGUUCUUUGUGGGGUUAGGUAUGUUUCCAUGGUCUUGCGUCAAGAGGAAGAUCUCAUACAACCCAUGGAGGAUGACAUCAAGUGGUGAUCGUCAUCAAGUUUGCAGUGUGCAAGUUCAAGUGAAGCAACGCGAAGACUGGCUCACCCACAAUGGAGUAUGGGGGAGCAAUCAAGCUUGAAGCUUGCCGUCCAUUGUGGUGUCAAUGGAAUUGUGAAUAUGUGCCAAAGAGUGGCUCACCCAUAGUGGAGUAUGGGGGAGCAAUCAACUAGUCUUCAUCGAGCCAACACAAUCAAGAAAGGUGGUCCAACUUGAGGAAGUCAAGAUCGUCAUCAUCUAGCUCAAGUGGACUAUGUGCAAGGCAAAGGUUUGCCCUUGAUAGGUUUUCUAUUUUACCGGUCUCAUAGUGGUAGUUGGGAGACCGGGUUGUAGGAUCGAUUGCCGUACUAUCAAGGGGGGCUCUCUAGGGAGUAGCUUGAUCGUAUCAUUUGUCGAGAGCUCAAACCAUUCCAUCCUUGCAUCAUCUUUCUUUGUUCUUGUUUGGUUCCAUUGGUGAGUCUUAGAGCUUAUGGUCAUCUUGAUGACAAGCUUGAGUUCAUCAAAAACGGAGUUCGCGUGCAUCUUCUAUGAUGUUUUCGGUGUUGAAGGUUUUGCCGGUCUUAUCCGAGGAAGGGUUCUCACCAUUUUAUUAUGGUCCUUUUCUCAUUUGCUUCUUAUUGAUAUUUCUCCCAAGAUUGUGUUAGCCUUUAUCGUUAGCUUUCCAACAAACUUGGUUUCGUUGAAUUCGGAGCUCAUAUGCGAAAGUUGUGGUUGUUCUGAUAUUGCAUGUUUUACACAGAGAGGUUGUACCGCCCCAUGGAGAGGUUGUACCGCUUGACCGGUACAACCGGUGUUUGGUCCGGAGGUUGUAUCGGUCAUGUACCGCUCUACCACCGGACUGGUCUCUGUUAUGGUGCGGUUGUUGGGCGGUUGUGGGCCGGUUGUACCGCUUAUUGCCUGUUACCGGUUGUACCGGUGCUCAUAGAGGUUGUACCGCUCCUAUGUUGUUCUGUACAUAACGGGCAGAUUCAUGGGGACCUAUUUAAGGGGGUCUUCUUCCCCAAUGGUUCCCUAUCUCUCGAGCUCGUUUUUGCCCCCAUUGUUGACCUUCUUUGAGCUUGCUAACUCUCAAUCCCUCCAUGGAUUCUUGCUAGUUUUUGAGGGAAAGAGAGAGGAGAUCUAGAUCCACAUUUCCACAAAUCACUUUAUCCUCUAUGUGAGGGGAACCCCUUGGAUCUAGAUCUUGGAGUUCUUGGUGUUCUCCUUCUUGUUCUUCCUCUCAUUUUCCUCCCUAGCAUUAGUUGCUCCGGUGCGAUUUGAGAGAGAAGGACUUGGGCACUCCGUGUGCCCUUGCCAUUGCAUUUGGUGCAUCGGUUUGAGUUCUCCACGAUGAUACGUGGAAGUGAAGUUUGAGAAGCUUAUUACUCUUGGGUGUUUGGGCACCCUAGAACUUGUUCCUCUUGGGUGUCUUGGCGCCCUAGAUGGUUGGUGUUGUUCGGAGCUCAAUCAUUGUGGUGUAAAGCUCCGGGCAAGCAUCGGGGUCUCCAAUUAGGUUGUGGAGAUCGCCCCGAGCAAUUUGACGGGUAUCGGUGACCGCCCCAAGGGUUGCCAAAGUGUACGGGUUCGGUGACCGCCCCCAAGGGUUGCCAUUUGUACGGGUUCGGUGACCGCCCUCAAGGGUCCCUUAGUGGAAUCACGACAUCUUGCAUUGUGCGAGGGCGUGAGGAGAUUAUGGUGGCCCUAGUGGCUUCUUGGGGAGCAUUGUGCCUCCACAGCGCUCCAAACGGAGAUUAGCAUCCGCAAGGGUGUGAACUUCGGGAUACAUCAUCGUCUCCGCGUGCCUCGGUUAUCUCUUACCCAAGCUCUUUACUUAUGCACUUUACUUUGUGAUAGCCAUAUUGUUUCUUGUCAUAUAUCUUGCUAUCACAUAGUUGCUUAUCUUGCUUAGCAUAAGUUGUUGGUGCACAUAGGUGAGCCUAGUUGUUUUAGGUUUUGUGCUUGACAAAUUAACCGCUAGGUUUAUUCCACAUUUGUUCUAGCCUAAAUCGUAAUUAUUUUAAAACGCCUAUUCACCCCCCCUCUAGGCGACAUCCACGAUCUUUCAACCUUUCGCAACAAGUCGAGCUUUGUAGACAGUAACAUUACCGUUAGCGUCAGUCUUCUUCUUAAAGAUCCAUUUAUUCUCAAUUGCUUGCCGAUCAUUGGGCAAGUCAACCAAAGUCCAUACUUUGUUCUCAUACAUGGAUCCCAUCUCAGAUUUCAUGGCCUCAAGCCAUUUUGCGGAAUCUGGGCUCACCGUCGCUUUUUCAUAGUUGGUAGGUUCAUCAUGAUCUAAUAGCAUGACUUCCAGAACAGGAUUACCGUACCACUCUGGUGCGGAUCUUACUCUGGUUGAUCUACGAGGUUUAGUAGUAACUUGAUCUGAAGUUCCAUGAUCAUCAUCAUUAACUUCCUCACUAAUUGGUGUAGGCGUCAUAGAAACCGGUUUCUGUGAUGAACUACUUUCCAAAAGAGGAGCAGGUACAGUCACCUCAUCAAGUUCCACUUUCCUCCCACUCACUUCUUUCAAGAGAAACUCCUUCUCUAGAAAGGAUCAAUUCUUAGCAACGAAUGUCUUGCCUUCGGAUCUGUGAUAGAAGGUGUACCCAACAGUUUCCUUUGUGUAUCCUAUGAAGACACAUUUCUCCGAUUUGGGUUCGAGCUUAUCAGGUUUAAGCUUUUUCACAUAAGCAUCGCAACCCUGAACUUUCAGAAACGACAACUUUGGUUUCUUGCCAAACCACAGUUCAUAAGGCGCCGUCUCAACGGAUUUCGAUGGUGCCCUAUUUAAUGUGAAUGCGGCCGUCUCUAAAGCAUGAGCCCAAAAUGAUAGCGGUAAAUCUGUAAGAGACAUCAUAGAUCGCACCAUAUCUAGUAAAGUACGAUUACGACGUUCGGACGCACCAUUACGCUGUGGUGUUCCGGGUGGCGUGAGUUGCGAAACUAUUCCGCAUUGUUUCAAAUGUAGACCAAACUCGUAACUCAAAUAUUCUCCUCCAUGAUCAGAUCGUAGAAACUUUAUUUUCUUGUUACGAUGAUUUUCAACUUCACUCUGAAAUUCUUUGAACUUUUAAAAUGUUUCAGACUUAUGUUUCAUUAAGUAGAUAUACCCAUAUCUGCUUAAAUCAUCUGUGAAGGUGAGAAAAUAACGAUAUCCGCCACGAGCCUCCACAUUCAUCAGACCACAUACAUCUGUAUGUAUGAUUUCCAACAAAUCUGUUGCUCUCUCCAUAGUUCCGGAGAACGGCGUUUUAGUCAUCUUGCCCAUGAGGCACGGUUCGCGAGUACCAAGUGAUUCAUAAUCAAGUGGUUCCAAAAGUCCAUCAAUAUGGAGUUUCUUCAUGCGCUUUACACCGAUAUGACCUAAACGGCAGUGCCACAAAUAAGUUGCACUAUCAUUAUCAACUCUGCAUCUUUUGGCUUCAACAUUAUGAAUAUGUGUAUCACUACUAUCGAGAUUCAUCAAAAACAGACCACUCUUUAAGGGUGCAUGACCAUAAAAGAUAUUACUCAUAUAAAUAGAGCAACCAUUAUUCUCUGAUUUAAAUGAAUAACUGUCUCGCAUCAAACAAGAUCCAGAUAUAAUGUUCAUGCUCAACGCUGGCACCAAACAACAAUCAUUUAGGUCUAAUACUAAUCCCGAAGGUAGAUGUAGAGGUAGCGUGCCGACCGCGAUCACAUCGACUUUGGAACCAUUUCCCACGCGCAUCGUCAUCUCGUCCUUUGCCAGUGUUUGCUUAAUCCGUAGUCCCUGUUUCGAGUUGCAAAUAUUAGCAACAGAACCAGUAUCAAAUACCCAGGUGCUACUACGAGCUCUAGUAAGGUACACAUCAAUAACAUGUAUAUCACAUAUACCUUUGUUCAAUUUGCCAUCCUUCUUAUCCGCCAAAUACUUGGGGCAGUUCCGCUUCCAGUGACCAAUCUGCUUGCAGUAGAAGCACUCAGUCUCAGGCUUAGGUCCAGACUUGGGUUUCUUCUCCUGAGCAGCAACUUGCUUGCUGUUCUUCUUGAAGUUCCCCUUCUUCUUUCCUUUGCCCUUCUUGAAACUGGUGGUCUUACUGACCAUCAACACUUGAUGCUCCUUCUUGAUUUCUACCUCCGCUGCCUUUAGCAUUGCGGAGAGCUCGGGAAUUGUCUUAUCCAUCCCUUGCAUAUUAUAGUUCAUCACGAAACUCUUGUAGCUUGGUGGCAGUGAUUGAAGAACUCUGUCAAUGACACUAUCAACCGGAAGAUUAACUCCCAGCUGAGUCAAGUGAUUAUGAUACCCAGACAUUCUGAGUAUAUGUUCACUGAUAGAACUAUUCUCCUCCAUCUUGCAACUGUAGAACUUUAUUGGAGACUUCAUAUCUCUCAAUCCGGGAAUUUGCUUGAAAUAUUAACUUAAACUCCUGGAACAUCUCAUAUGCUCCAUGACGUUCAAAACGUCGUUGAAGUCCCGGUUCUAAGCCGUAAAGCAUGGCACAUUGAACUAUCGAGUAGUCAUCAGCUUUGCUCUGCCAGACGUUCUUAACGUCGUCAGUUGCAUCAGCAGCAGGCCUGGCACUCAGCGGUGCUUCCAGUACGUAAUUCUUCUAGGCAGCAAUGAGGAUAAUCCUCAAGUUACGGACCCAGUCCGUGUAAUUGCUACCAUCAUCUUUCAACUUUGCUUUCUCAAGGAACGCAUUAAAAUUCAACGGAACAACAGCACGGGCCAUCUAUCUACAAUCAAAAAUAGACAAGCAAGAUACUAUCAGGUACUAAGUUCAUGAUAAAUUUAAGUUCAAUUAAUCAUAUUACUUAAGUACUCCCACUUAGAAAGACAUCCCUCUAAUCUUCUAAGUGAUCACGUGAUCCAAAUCAACUAAACCAUAACCGAUCAUCACGUAAAAUGGAGUAGUUUUCAAUGGUGAACAUCACUAUGUUGAUCAUAUCUACUAUAUGAUUCACGCUCGACCUUUCGGUCUCAGUGUUCCGAGGCCAUAUCUGCAUAUGCUAGGCUCGUCAAGUUUAACCUGAGUAUUCUGCGUGUGCAAAACUGGCUUGCACCAAUUGUAGAUGGACGUAGAGCUUAUCACACCCGAUCAUCAUGUGGUGUCUGGGCACGACGAACUUUGGCAACGGUGCAUACUCAGGGAGAACACUUUUUAUCUUGAAAUUUAGUGAGAGAUCAUCUUAUAAUGCUACCGUCAAUCAAAGCAAGAUAAGAUGCAUAAAAGAUAAACAUCACAUGCAAUCAAUAUAAGUGAUAUGAUAUGGCCAUCAUCAUCUUGUGCUUGUGAUCUCCAUCUCUGAAGCACCGUCAUGAUCACCAUCGUCACCGACGCGACACCUUGAUCUCCAUCGUAGCAUCGUUGUCAUCUCGCCAAACUUAUGCUUCCACGACUAUCGCUACCAUUUAGUGAUAAAGUAAAGCAUUACAGGGCGAUUGCAUUGCAUACAAUAAAGUGACAACCAUAUGGCUCCUGCCAGUUGCUGAUAACUCUGUUACAAAACAUGAUCAUCUCAUACAAUAAAAUUUAGCAUCAUGUCUUGACCAUAUCACAUCACAACAUGCCCUGCAAAAACAAGUUAGACGUCCUCUACUUUGUUGUUGCAAGUUUUACGUGGCUGCUAUGGGCUUUAGCAAGAACCGUUCUUACCUACGCAUCAAAACCACAACGAUAGUUUGUCAAGUUGGUGCUGUUUUAACCUUCGAAAGGACCGGGCGUAGCCACACUUGGUUCAACUAAAGUUGGAGAAACUGACACCCGCCAGCCACCUUUGUGCAAAGCACGUCGGUAGAACCAGUCUCGUGUAAGCGUACGCGUAAUGUCGGUCCGGACCGCUUCAUCCAACAAUACCGCCGAACCAAAGUAUGACAUGCUGGUAAGCAGUAUGACUUAUAUCGCCCACAACUCACUUGUGUUCUACUCGUGCAUAAGACAUCUACGCAUAAAACCUGGCUCAGAUGCCACUGUUGGGGAACGUAGUAAUUUCAAAAAAAUUCCUACGCACACGCAAGAUCAUGGUGAUGCACAGCAACGAGAGGGGAGAGUGUUCUCCACGUACCCUCGUAGACCAAAAGCGGAAGCGUUAGCACAACGCGGUUGAUGUAGUCGUACGUCUUCACGAUCCGACCGAUCAAGUACCGAACGUACGGCACCUCCGAUUUCAGCACACGUUCAGUCCGAUGACGUCCCUCGAACUCCGAUCCAGCCGAGUGUUGAGGGAAAGUUUUGUCAGCACGACAGCGUGGUGACGAUGUUGAUGUUCUACCGACGCAGGGCUUCGCCUAAGCACCGCUAUAGUAUUAUCGAGGUGGACUAUGGUGGAGGGGGCACUGCACACGGCUAAAAGAUCAACUUGAUCAAUUGUUGUGUCUAUGGGGUGCCCCCUGCCUCUGUAUAUAAAGGAGAAAGGGGGGUGCGGCCGGCCAGGGAGAGGGCGCGCCAGGAGGAGUCCUACUCCCACCGGGAGUAGGACUCCCCCCCUUUUCCUAGUUGGAAUAGGAUUCGGGAGGGGGAAAGAGGAGGGAGAGAAGGAAAGGGGGGCGCCGCCCCCCUCUCCUUGUCCUAUUCGGACUAGGGGGAGGGGCGCGCGGCCCAGCCCUGGCCGCCUCUCCUCUUCUCCGUAAAGGCCCACUAAGGCCCAUUUACCUCCCGGGGGGUUCCGGUAACCUCCCGGUACUCCGGUAAAAUCUCGAUUUCACGCGGAACACUUCCGAUAUCCAAACAUAGGCUUCCAAUAUAUCAAUCUUCAUGUCUCGACCAUUUCGAGACUCCUCGUCAUGUCCGUGAUCACAUCUGGGACUCCGAACUACCUUCAGUACAUCAAAACAUAUAAACUCAUAAUAUAAAUGUCAUCGUAACGUUAAGCGUGCGGACCCUACGGGUUCGAGAACCAUGUAGACAUGACCGAGACACGUCUCCGGUCAAUAACCAAUAGCGGAACCUGGAUGCUCAUAUUGGCUCCUACAUAUUCUACGAAGAUCUUUAUCGGUCAAACCGCAUAACAACAUACGUUGUUCCCUUUAUCAUCGGUAUGUUACUUGCCCGAGAUUCGAUCGUCGGUAUCUCAAUACCUAGUUCAAUCUCGUUACCGGCGAGUCUCUUUACUCGUUCUGUAAUACAUCAUCCCGCAACUAACUCAUUAGUUGCAAUGCUUGCAAGGCUUAAGUGAUGUGCAUUACCGAGAGGGCCCAGAGAUACCUCUCCGACAAUCAGAGUGAGAAAUCCUAAUCUCGAAAUACGCCAACCCAACAAAUACCUUUGGAGACACCUGUAGAGCACCUUUAUAAUCACCCCAGUUAUGUUUUGACGUUUGGUAGCACACAAAGUGUUCCUCCGGUAAACGGGGGUUGCAUAAUCGCAUAGUCAUAGGAACAUGUAUAAGUCAUGAAGAAAGCAAUAGCAACAUACUAAACGAUCGGGUGCUAAGCUAACGGAAUGGGUCAUGUCAAUCACAUCAUUCUCCUAAUGAUGUGACCCUGUUAAUCAAAUGACAACUCAUGUAUAUGGUUAGGAAACAUAACCAUCUUUGAUCAACGAGCUAGUCAAGUAGAGGCAUACUAGUGACAAUCUGUUUGUCUAUGUAUUCACACAUGUAUUAUGUUUCCGGUUAAUACAAUUCUAGCAUGAAUAAUAAACAUUUAUCAUGAUAUAAGGAAAUAACUAAUAACUUUAUUAUUGCCUCUAGGGCAUAUUUCCUUCACUUCGUCUUUGUGGUCUUUGAUUAACUCUAACACUAGCUCAUUUACUUGUGUUAUUACAUUGGUCCCUUGACCUUGCAAACUUCAUAUAUGUUGUUUAUCUCACCUUAGUAAAAUUUGUAGUUGAAAUAUUCACCCCUCUAGGUCCGUUUCGAUCCUUUCAGGCGGGGGCGCGUGCUUGAUCUGUUCUGAUGGUCAUAAUAGCAUCAUAGGCAGGAAUCAAUGACCUAGCAUGUGAUCGCCCGCAUGUGGGGAAAACCUACACACAAGAUGAGGCUGCCGGUAACAAGCUGACAACCAAACCUGCCAGCGCUCCAGAGCACAUGCCCGACGAUGACGCUCACCCACUGCCUUCUCAACACCGUUGACGCCAUCGCUCAAAUGUGGUUGCCAACAUGAAAUCAAAACCUAACCUUACCUAAGUGACAGACAUGCAACCCCCCCCCCCCCACACACACACCACAUGAGCAUCAUACAUAGGCGAGGAUAACCACCAACCUUAUCGGUGGAACGACAUGAGGAUCUAGAGAGAGAAGGACGACAAUAAUGUUGGCCAACCUUUAAACAAGCAAAACAUCGACCAACAUUUGCAUUUUUACACCCUCCAUUCUUUUAUGUAAGGUGUAUUAUUCUUGGCACGAUGACCAAGGUACAUAAUUAUAGACAAUUUAGGAUGAAAUUACCCUUUCCAAUUCAUUUAUUACCGGCAAGUAAAUCAUUUCAGCUAGGAAAGAAACAAAUACAUGCAAUCGGGAGAGAUAUAGUUUCCUUUUUUCUCUACAAGGAGAGAUACAUGCAAUCAGGUGAGAGAUACUUUCCUUUUUUGGAGGGUCAAUAACGGAAUUACGAGGAAUUAGAACAAAUGCACCUUAUAUUGUGAAAUUUUAUCAAAAAACAAAUGCACCUAAUAUAAAGGAAUGGAGGGAGUAAUAGGGAAAGCUUGAGCACACCGAAAAUCUAAAUUAGACCGUUCCCUCCGAUUCCGUCUUGGUCCUUCGGCUCCAGUUCUGAUCGAUGAAGGUUAGUCAGCUUUGUCCUCGUCGGAGAGCGUCGGAGAGUUGUGUUUCCCGACUCCGUCUGACCAGACCUACAUUGUUAUACAAGCCCUAUAUUACAUUUUCUUCUCCUGGCCAACGAUUUGCUACGCUGAUUGUGGUCACCAGCAUCUUCAGGUCUACAUUGAUGAUUCCUCAACCAUUGCUUCCACAAGCUUCUAUGUUUAAACAAGUUUUCUCCCUUGAGACAGAGACCCAGAAACAACAACGAACUUUGCUCACGGUGCGCCACCAAUGGAUGCAAGAGGAAGAAGGCUUCGGUACCCCAAAGAUUUGAAUGUGCUUUUCAAUUUCUAUAAGGACGUUCUUAUAAAUACGUGCUACCUAAUAUGACAUCACGGGUCGUACGAGCACAAUUCUCCUCUCUCCUAAUCAUGAAGACACAAUGAUACGUUUUGUACCACUCUACCACGAAUAUGCCCCUCUGCGAUGCGGUGCCCAGGAAACGCACCGGGGGCAUCUUGGUCAAAUCCACUAGCUUCUUCUCCUCACUCCCCCUUCCCUCCGGCGGCUCCUCCCCUGCUCUGGCUCUGCUCCGCUUUAUAUAAGAAGAGCGGCCUCCUCCUCCACAAGCACACACACCAAAACAAAACUCCAGCAGCUCACACAGAGGCACAGACACAGAGAGAGAACUGCCUCGAGGUCCCGGCUUGGAUCCGGAGCCUCCCCUCUUGGCGGCGCCGGAAGGUACGCAAAAUCCCCUCCCCGUUCUUUGAUUCCGUUCAGCCUCAAUGCGAGCCGUCGAUGUAGGCAUCCUUGUUGGCUAGUUUGUGCGUCUUCUUCAGUUUUGCCAAGGGCGAAUCACUGGAGAAGCAAUUCUUUCCCGUCCAUCAGAGUUUGGGCAUAUAUGAGCCAAAUUUACGGCCUUUUAAUUGUCGGCGAGGCUGCGUUCAGCCGAGUACGGCGGUGCAUUCCUGCGGUUGGAUGGAUCUGGGUAUUUGCAAGUUGUUAUGCUCUUAGUUUUAGGAUUGGAGGAAUGGCCCGGUUCUCUGCAAAAUCAAACAUGUUUGGCCACUUUUCUUCAUGAAUUUGUUGACGGUGUUAUGUUUCUACGAUGUACCACCGAGUUGCUCCUCAACCCUGACUUUUCUGCAUACCUCUGUUUACAUUCUCAACUGGAUGCACAAGUAUGCAGCCUUGUUGAUUCUAAAGUAAAAUUAAUAAGAAUUACAGAUACGUUUUCUGCUGUUUCUAGUUUGCCGUCUGCACAGAACAAAUGUUUUUUCCUUCAUAUAAACCACCGACCACCAUGUGCCUGAUCCCGUCAGAUUUGUUUCCUCUAAAGAUUAUGCAAUAAUCAAAUUUGUUUCACCAUUCUUCUGUAUGCUCCAGUUGUUAAGCCAACCAAUAAAUGUUUUGUUAUUUCUUCAGUAAUCCAUACAAGGGUAUAUUUUGAAUUUCCAAUUGCAGAAUCUGAAGAUUUCUUUUCUUAUUUGCAGAGAACUCCAACACAGAACAAGCACUCAAAGCCUCGGGGAAUGCUGAAAGAUGUGCUUGCUUAGAAGAAAUUUCACCUGCGCAAUAAAGGAGAUUGCCUCUUCUCCACAGGAGCUGAGUUGGUCGACUCUUUAUGUGAGCAACCAUCUUGUUUGCAUCAGCUCUGCACCAUCUAGACUCCGUCGAGAGAAAGACAUGAGAGUGUUGUUCAUCGUAGUGGAUCAAGACUACCUUGGAGAGGAUGGUUGAAGUGCUGCAGUCCAUUUGAAUUAUAGCCGCAAUAUAGGCUGUGGUUUUAUGCAACUUGAAGUCAUGGCAAACAGAGGGAAGAUUCUAAUGGAGCGGUACGAGCUGGGAAGAUUGUUGGGGAAAGGAACAUUUGGCAAGGUACACUAUGCAAGGAGCCUAGAGUCGAACCGAAGCGUCGCCAUAAAGAUGCUGGACAAGGAGAAGGUGCUCAAGGUUGGGCUCUCGGAGCAAAUCAGGCGUGAGGUCACAACCAUGCGGUUGGUGGCACACAAGAACAUUGUUCAGCUUCAUGAGGUCAUGGCGACACGAAACAAAAUAUACUUUGUCAUGGAGUAUGUGAAAGGCGGUGAGCUCUUUGACAAGGUUGCAAAGAGUGGCAAGCUCACAGAGGGUGCUGCACAUAAGUAUUUCCAGCAGCUCAUCAGUGCAGUGGAUUACUGCCACAGCCAAGGCGUGUAUCACCGGGAUCUCAAGCUGGAGAACCUGCUCCUGGAUGAGAAUGAGAACCUUAAGGUCUCGGAUUUUGGAUUGAGCGCACUUUCAGAGUCAAAGAGGCAAGAUGGCUUGCUGCACACCACCUGCGGAACACCCGCAUAUGUAGCUCCGGAGGUCAUCAGCAAGACAGGUUAUGAUGGUGCGAAAUCAGAUAUCUGGUCUUGUGGUGUUAUCCUUUUUGUUCUUGUUGCUGGUUAUCUCCCUUUCCAUGGUUCCAACUUGAUGGACAUGUACCGGAAGAUUGAGCAAGGAGAUUUCAGGUGCCCCAGCUGGUUCUCACACAAACUCCAGAAGCUCUUGUUCAAGAUUCUGGACCCCAAUCCAAGCACCAGGGCAUCUAUCCAGAAGAUAAAAGAGUCUACCUGGUUCCGGAAAGGUCCAAGGGGAACCCUUGCAGUGAAGGAGAGAACUCCCAGUGAGAACGUCACCACAAAUGCUCCUCCUACAGCUGGUGUGAGGCCAAGGAAGAACACUCAUGAAGAUGUGAAGCCCCUGAUGGUGACAAACUUAAAUGCCUUUGAGAUCAUCUCCUUCUCCACGGGGUUUGACCUGUCUGGCCUAUUCAUCCGAGAGGAGUGCAGAAAGGAGACAAGGUUCACUUCAGACAAGCCUGCUUCAGCCAUCAUCUCGAAGCUGGAAUAUGUUGCGAAAGCGCUGAAUCUCAGGGUAAGGAAGAAGGACAAUGGCGUGGUGAAGAUGCAAGCGAGGAAGGAAGGAAGGAAUGGUGCUGUUCAGUUAGACAUGGAGAUCUUCGAGAUCACACCUUCCCACCACCUCAUUGAGAUGAAACAAACAAGUGGUGAUCCACUGGAGUACCGGGAGCUAUUGGAGGACAUCCGGCCAGCGCUGAAGGACAUAGUCUGGGCCUGGCACGGAGAUGACCACCACCAGCAGCUAGAGUAGGUUUUGGAAUCUUGAGUAUUUAGUUUUGGUUCUGCGAAUUCGUCCAGUUUUCAGCUGGAACGAUCCUAUUUUACAUGCGUGUGUUCUUUGUACAAAAUAUAUUUUUUCCUACAUGAGGUGAGGCAUUCUGUUCGAGGCAUUGUUGAGAAGUUGAAAUGCAUAAUAAAGGUUGUUCCUGUUUAGUUGCUGUCAACUUGUCACUGUCCUGUCAUAAUGCUCAUUUUGGGUGAAAUUAAAUGCUAUGCCAAGCAUUUACAGUAGAAAGCUCCCACUACACCUCCAUAAACACAUUUCUCAAAACAUACGACGUAUUAGCCAGCACUUGAACAUUUUGUGAUUUGCCAUCUCUGGAAGAAACCUACAACUGUUCAGUUUUUUUCAUGAUGUGAGUUGUAAUUUGGGUAAGAUAAUCUUCAGAAAGUCCUCUGGAGAGAUGGCUCUCCCAUCAUCUAGUUUAAUGUUUAUUACUUAUCGGGAGCUGAAUAUGUCCCAUGGAAAUUUCUUUCCAGAUUUUGGAAGAAUUUUCAUAUUAACAGAGGUUGCUCAGCGGUCAUACUCAAUAACCAAUGCACAGACUAAGGAAGUAGAAAAUCAACAAGUGGUGCCUAUUCAGUCUGAUCCGAAAAGUAGAAAAUCAACAAGUGGUGCCAACAAUUUGCAGAGAGCUGCAGCUUCACCGAGAAAGCGAAAUAAUAGAAUUUUACUAAAGAGGGGUAUCCUCUUAUUAAACAACAGAAAGUGAAGUUAUCGGUAAAGAAAAUAAAUACCGAGCGUAUAAAUUCACUUGCUGGCAGGUUCGAUCUAGAAAAUAUCUGAACUCCACUGUGAGUAAAUUAAAGAAAUUGUCACUAUCACAGGGGAUAGGUCCAACAUCCAAGUGUUUCUUUUCACUUUCCUAAUCAACCAUCCAAAAAAUUCAACAGUAAAAUUACUGAUUUGAUUGAGCUAACCAAUCAUAGAUUUCUCAAAGUCGUUGAAGGAUAAACUCUUUAUGUCCUAGGUAUCCAACAUAUAUGCUUCUGUCCUUGAUGCCUGAUGCCCUGAUCCAUGAUUGAUGCCUGCUGCGAUGCAUUGCCGCAGAUCCGAAAGAAAAUCUUGCUACGGAUUGAAAUUGUAAUCUGACGACAUGGAUAUUUACUUUAUGAAAAUCUUGCUAUUACAACUUGCUAAUUUGAAGAUUUACAUAUUUGUAUCGGUUUUGUUAGUUGGAACUUUGUAGGAUAUUUGGUAAAUCGAUGGCAGGUUAAUUUGCAAUAAUUGAACUUUAUCUCUGUAUGAGUAUAUUUGUACCUACCAAAUACAAUGCUUAGACUGAUUUCAUUUUUAUGAGCAGAUAAACAAGAAAAACAGAAUAGUUCAUUUUCUACGGACACGAUGUACGCGAAUGCGGAUAAAUAGUUUGCAUGGCUGACAUGCUAUAACUUUAUUUUUGCUUUAGUUGAUUAUUUAUUUAUUUUUUUGCUAUGCACCUGAAGAUGUAUAAUCUGGUGUGAUGCUUGAUUGAAGAUUAGUCAGCAACGUGAUGAUAGUGAGAUAUCUUAUGAUGACGACAGGUUGGUUUGGAACAUCUCUACCGGUAAGGAUUUUUCAGUACAUUCAUUAUCUUGGAAGAUACUGAGAAAUCUCAUGAUGGUGUAAGGUUUCGGCGAAGUUCUAGAUGGAAGUUUAGGUGUUAUCAUCUCACGAAAGAUAUAGGCCUCCUUUGAUUUGGAGGAAUUUCAUAGGAAUUUUAGAGGAUAGGAAUUUUAUAGGAUUUUUUCCUUUAGAGCCCUUUGGUUCAUAGGAAUAGAUUCCUAUUCCUACAUAGGAUUGGUUCCUAUCCUCCACAUUUUACAGAAAAAUAAAAAUGAGCCUAGACUCAAUGAAAAAAUUCCUUUGGUGUCAACCAAAUGACAUCUCGUUUCCUAUUCCUACUCAUAGGAUUUGAGAUACAUGCCAUCUCAUUUCCUACAAAAUUCCUAUUCCUAUGAUAAUUCUAUCCUAUGAACCAAAAGAGUAAUCUUUUAAGAAAGAAGUGUUCUCUUUGUCGCAACCCCGAGAGCAUUAAGCAUCAAUGUUUUAGAUGCCCAGUUGAUGCUGAUUAACUGUGCUUGACGCCACAUUGGUUCCCCUGUCCCUGAAACAUAUGCUUGAUCAAAUUUGUAGGGAACAGGUGAAUUGGAAACAAGGCGCUGCUACUCGUGAGUCCUGAGCUAUCAAGGCCUGUCUCUGAAGGAAGAAUGAAGUUCAGAGACAGGGAAGGAUAGGGCACAGAGGAUGUAUACUGUUUUCUGUACAUUCUUCAGCAGGUGUAAUCCAACAUGUCAGAGAUAAGACUUCAAAGUAAUAUCAAAGCUCAGCUCAUAAGCGUUGGAACAAGUAGCAUUACAGGUACACAGCAUGCAACAUGGUGGUACAAAAUAGUACGGAGUAAGUUUUUUUUAGAAUUAUAGAAAAUAGUAACUGGUAGGGAACAAACUGCAAAUACACCGUAAAGAUAAUUAAUAUAUUUAUUACUAUGGAAAGACUAUCCUUUUAUUAAACCGCUGAAAGCAGAGUUCUCGAUUAACCCGAGCACUUGCAGACAAGUUUGAUCCAGAGUAUCUAAACUCCACUUGUCAGAGUUUUUUUUAAAGAAAUCGUCCCUAUCACUGCAGAGGAUAGAUCCAACACCCUUACACCCAACCCUUCACUUUCCUAACAAGCCGUCCAAACAAUUUGAGAGGUUAAAUAACAAUAAUUUGGUUCAGCAAACAAAUCACAGCUAUGCCAAGUUGUUAGUAAAAGAUACCACUAUAUAAACUCUUGAUGUCCCAGGUUUCCAACAUAGAUGCUUUGUCCUUAAUACCUGCCUGAUGCCUUCAACCAUAUGAUAGAUAGAUGCCUGAUGCGACGAAUCGCCGCAAACCAAAAGAAAUUAAAUGAAUUAAUUUUGUCAUCUGACGACAGGUAGAUGUGUACCUUUAUGGCUACGCUCGCCUUUUCUGGAAACAUGAUAACCACGCAAGUGGUUAGUUGGUGCAUAGACGGUUUUCCGCUGUCGGUCCUUUUAGAUUUACCUAUUUUCCCCUUCUUUUACUAGUAAGCAUGCACGUGCAACGCACGUCUCUACAGUGGCAUCUCGGGCGACUACUCCAGCGAUACUGGUUGAGUGUGCAAGGUUUGUUUGAGCAAUAGAUGUUGGGGGCGGCGGCCCUGAGAGCUCGUGUCUUGUGGGUUGAAACUAUUGCAGGCAUAUGAAAUGCUUGCUUGCAGCUUCAAUGACAUGUACCUCAUGUCUUGUGGGCUAUUGCAGGCAAUGUGGAAUGCUUGUUUGCAUGUUAAAUGCUUGCUUGCAGCUUCAAUGACAUGGACCUCAUGUCUUGUGGGUUGAAACUAUUGCAGGCAUGUAGAAUGCUUGUCUCUUCUCAACCGCGAAAGAGUGCCUCAUGACUUCCUUUCUUGCAGUGAUGAAAGAGCGGAUUGUUCAGCAGAGCGAGUCCCCUAGCUAGUGUGUGUUUGGUUGUUCAGCAGAGCAAGUCCCCUAAAAAACCUAGUGUGUGUCUGGUUGACUUUUUUUGUCCCCUAAAAAAACUAUUUGUGUCAAUGGAACUAAUCAUCAAGAAAUGACAUGAAAAGAAAUUGAAUGUUCAUCCCAAACAAUUAAUAACCUCGAAUGCAAUGCACAAUGCACGGUUCAACUAAAACAAGGCCAAAAGAUAAUUAUUAUUAGCUCAUUAAAAGUGGACAUCAAGGAAACAUUCUUUUGAUCUCAUGUCUUUGAAUGACAAUUAACCAGAUCAUCCAAUGACCAUAUAAUUUUCAUAUUUGUCUAUUUUUUGGGCAGAUCACAUUAUAUCAAAAUAUAAAAAUAUAUCAAAACUUCAGGCAAAAUUAUCUUGAACAACUAUCCAACUGCACCACUCUGCACAUCAGAAAAAGAAAACACCACAUACUCACUGCAUUCCUAAAUGUAGAGUAGUAUUAAGGAGUAAGCUUAUCCGGACAGCAAGUAGUUGUGCCCACUGUAUAAGGAUAAUCAUAAUGCACACACCACAACAGGGAUUUAUUUCUUUGAAAUCUGCAUACAAAGUUACAGAACAAGCUCUUGAAUGGUUGUGACUAAAUUUCUCAAAAGAUGUCAACAAAAGUAAGAUAAUAUAUAUUACAGUAUAAGACUAUUAUACAUGCUAACUAUGCACUGUUGUUAAAUAAACAGUAUACUUGUGACUAUUCUAUAUCAUCAACAUGCUUCUACCCGACUCUCCGUUGAUCGCCUAGCUACAUGGAUGCAUUCACAAAGAUAUAAGCCCUCUCCUUAGCUUUUAGCAUACCUCUAUUCACAAAGAUUAUGUGCUACAUAUAAGUAUCGUGACGCUAAUGGUCGAACAUGCAAAUUAAACUUACACGUGGAAAAUAUGCAACCCACAAUUGCGAUAUCUUAACAUAUCACAUUACAAACAUAUAAACAACGGUCUAAGAAAUACGUGUAACUACACUAACAUUUGGGAUAUUUGAGAUACUUGUCAUGAAUAGUUUCUCCCAUCAACAUAUCAUUGCAACUUAGCGCAAUUCAUUUUCUUUUCUCCGGAAAAAGGUCAAUCUUAUUUCUUCUGGCCUGUCUGCUCUAUGGAUCUUGGUGUUGUAGGCAGAUGGACACAUCUCAGUUCAGAGCAUGUUUGUAAGCAAAAAAUUAUACCUAAUGAUAUAAUUUACAUAAACCUAAUGCUCAGGCAUAUUAUCAAUUGAUGGCGAAUGUGCAUUACAAGUUGAAGUUUCUUGUUCCAACGGAUCCCAGUUAUUGGUUUUUGUCAUCCAACAGUUUAAUGUCAUAUCAACCAAGGUUUGUGCUCUACUUAUGGAGGUAGCCAGUAGAAACUAUUUGUGCAUACAAGUGUUUUCCAAGCUAUAACAUUUUAAUUUAUGUUCCAUUUUCAUCCAUCUACACAUUUUAAUUUCUGUGUGCAGAAAGAAAUACCUUGAUCACAAUGCUCGGCGUAGAAAAAGUCAUCAUCAUGUAGGUUGACAUUGACAUACUGUUCAUCCAAAUACUUCAGGCGCUGGACAAGCAUAUUGAACCAAGAUCUUCACUUGAUACCGGAGCAGCAAGCAUAUCUAAGAGAACAGCACAGCAUAAUAUAAGUCAUUAAAAUAUGGCCAAAAGGUAACUCAUGUGAGUCUAACCUCUUUAGCUAACAAAAGCUAUUGUUCUACAGGGAAGAAAAUAAGUCUACAUAUAUGUGAGUCUCACCUCUUUACCUAAGAUUUCAUUGUUUUUUAUCAUGUUAUGCCAUAUAUCUUACAACCCCUUUGUUCU
RNAcentral lists this long non-coding RNA (59534 nucleotides) under Triticum aestivum (bread wheat). RNAcentral's name for it is "long non-coding RNA (TAES_LNC001753)". Lineage: Eukaryota; Viridiplantae; Streptophyta; Magnoliopsida; Poales; Poaceae. The record is from RNAcentral.